CUUGACCUUGACAUAUAAAAAGAGCCUCUACCCGUUAUUCUAUGAGCGUCCAUUAGUGUACUUGGUUAUCAUACACAAUUACCCGCUUUCUCGACAUAUACAUUAUCAUAAGUUAAUCUAUGCAAACCCUAGCUAGUGCCCUUUGUUAAGUACCUUGACCCCUAAGAAACCCGAACAGUCGUGUCUCACAUUUUCUUGAAACCAACCAUUCCACCAAUUUAAGCACGUCUCAGUUGCAUUAUCUAGAGUUCCCCAACUCUAAAUUUCAUUAGCGCAUCACCGCAUUGUCAAGUUGCUUAUGCGUUAAGUAACAUAUUGAGCGCUAUAAAAAAUGAGGAAUGAAAGUGUUAAUUAUUCUCUCACGCACCAAAUAAAUAAAGAUUUAUUAAAACAAAUAGUAAUAUAUUUGUCUCUAGUAAUAAAAGGAAAAUUCAAAUGUCAUGAGGACAAUUACAUUUAAAUUUCUUUAUGUAAAUAAGAAGGUCACAACUAUGAGAAAUUUGGGUUUCAUUUUGUCUAUGUAUUAUUAUUCACCCAUUCCCAAAAAUAAAAAGAGUAGUGCUAAAUGUCGGGAAGGCUAAGAGAAACGGCAGCUUGUGUUGCCGUUUCGCGCGUGUUCUCUUGGCUCCACCCCCCACGUUACUUUCUCUUUUCUUUUUAACUUAACGUUUGCUGCAGUCAACUCAUCCUCCAACACCAGAAACUCUCGUAUCUUCUCCCUCCCCUCAAUUUCAUCAGCAUCAUCGGCACUCUCUCUCGUCAACGGCAUCAUUACCGACAGCCACCUCUUUCUCUUCAGCUCGUCACGAUAGACACCACCAAUCUGGUUCGUCACUUCAUCCGGAUCUCUCCAUUAUUCCAAGUGUGUUUCCCCUUUUUUUUUUGUUCUGAAAAACCCAAAAAAAUAAACAACAACACCUAUAUUGAUUUUGAUUUUUUUUAUUCCAAGUCAAAGGGGUGCUUGGCUUUUAAUUAUAUAAGAUAGAAGAUGAAACCAAAUUUUGAUGUUGAUCAAGAAGAAGAAACAAAAUUGACAGAAGGAAGAAGAAGAUAAUUGUGAUGAUGAUGUUGUUGAUGAAGAAGAUGAAAUUGACGAUGGAUAGAAGCAACGAAUAAAUUGCAUAAGAGAGAGAAAGAAAAAAGAGAAGAAGAAGAAGAUAAAAGAAGAAAAAAAACAGAAAAGAGCUAAAAUAAUAUAAAAAAACAAAAGAGGAAAUGCUUAAAAUAAAGAAGAGGUGGGGCCAAGAGAACACGCGUGAAACGACAGUACAAACUAUCAUUUCUCUCAGGGUUCUCUCAACCUUCCCGACGUUAAGCAUUUUCCAAAUAAAAAUAGGGACAAACUUUCGACUUGUUCAACACGCCUCUGCCGCAAAAAGACAGAUUGCCCAGGCACAUUCUGUUCUUUAUCUACUGAUGGCUCGUUAUCUUCCAUAAAGAAACACCGAGUCAAAUAAAUUCUUUUUAUCCCAAGCAGAUUUCUGAUAAAAAGAAUAAAGCCUCAAGACUCAAAUUUGAAUGGCUAGCCAAAUAAAGCCUUGGGAAUAAAAAAAUUAAUUUGUUAUUAGCGAGAAUCAGCAGAAUGACAAUAUCACAUAGAUUUCUGAUAAGUUUUUAAUAUCACAACAAUUAACACUAUUAAAUGUUAAAUGUGAUAUUUUAAAAAUAAAUUUUCUAGUUUCAAUUUGUAGAGGCUUUGAUUAAUGAUCAAUUUCUAUAUGGAAUGCAUUUCUAUUUAUUUAUUUAUUGUCACUAUCACUAAAAAAAAUUUCAUAAUCCCAAAGUGGUAAAAAUAAAUUCGAAGAGUAACCAAAAUGUCAUUCCUCCAAUGUAUUAUUUACGAUUCUAAUUCUUUGUACCAGUAUGUAUGUAUGUGGCGGCUUAACUUUCAUUUAAAGGGCGACAUUAAUAUCAUCACAACUGCUCAGUCCAGCCUUGAACUCGUUCAUAAGGAUUAGGACUCUGUGUUCCAUAGCCUUCACACGCCCUUGAACUGUUCUGCCUUUUUCACGAGCAAUUCCGCCUUCACCGAUUUGGAAAUUCUUGGUACAGGUACAUAACCGUGGUCUUGGCCUUGGGCCUGUGGACUUAGGUAACUCUCAAAGCUUAAGCUAACCGUAGCCCACUAACUUCGUUGAAGCCCAGUCGUAAAAGAUGAAAAAUAAUAAAAGGAUUGGGACUAUUGCCACCCCUCUUAUAAAAUUCCUUCUUUCUGAAAAAUACCUACUUAAAAAAAUUAAAAUAACACAACUACUAAUAAUACCCACACGUUAAAUCCAUAAAUGAUCUUAUAUACUUUCUUCUCGAUGAAGAUAUGCAAUAGUUUGUAGAUGGAAAACAUAUGAAGACUUUUAAAGUCCCUAGUUAAGGAACCUUUGUGAAGAUAUUUUUUGUAAUGGAAGAUAAGUUAAACCUUUCUUUUUUUCUUGAAUACUGAUACGUCUAAUACAAUUACAAGUCUAUUACAAAUACCUUAUAUACCAAGUCUAACUUAUAUGGCGAAUUAGGGUCUUCUUCUAUUUUUUUUUUCUCCUAUUCUCUCCGCAACUUUUAAAUCUGGUGAAAAAAGCUAAUAUAAUUAUAAAUAAAGUGAAAACACUUAAUUUUAUUGACAACAUUAAAAUUUAAGAUUUAAUCUCGAUCACUUAUUUCACUAAAAAAGAGAAAACACAAAGAGAGAAUUCUUAAAUAUAUGUAAUACCGUCCAAAUUUAUAGCAUUACAUAUAUUAGAGGAAUAUUUAUUCAACUAAAAAAGAUACUUACCUCUACCUAAUUUUGUAAGAGUGAGAGAAAUUUUAAGUCUUGGACUCGAAUCCUAUUGAGGGUGGGGGGCUUGCUAUUCGGCCACAGCCAUUUGCUUUCCCAUCACCUGAGAUGAAUUAAAGCUUUAUGAAUAAUUAUCGGACGUCUUCGAAGAGACAGCUUAUGAAAAUUAAAGGUUAAGAGAAACAUAUUGCAUAUUCAAAAAGCAUUUUGCUUUUCGGCAGAUUGAAUAAACUCUCCCUAAAGAGGUCCCCAUCAGCCUUCAAUGUGGCCAACGGUUGGCCAAAACGUGUCCGAUCAAAUCCAUUUACUUGAUUGAUGAAACAAACACAUCGUCCUAUUAGCAUGUGAAACGGUAACAUCAAAGAUCUAGAUUCAAGAGGUCAAAGGGAAAACUGUUCUGCCCACGCAAGCCUUUAUGAGCCGCCGAAAAAUUGUCCUGAAGGAUGCUUGAAUCCUUGGGAGAUUGAACUUACGGGAUCCCGUAUCUUACGUGUGUAUGUAAAAUAUAUUCAUUUCACAUGAAUAAUCUAAAUUUAUAGAUGAUAUAUAACUCUGUUCCUUAUAAAAAAAGAAUACUAUAUUUUAUGGCUUUUAGCUUUAUAAAAGGUUUGAAUCUACUUUGCAAUGAAAUUAUUUCAAUAAAAAUAUUUUUUAUUUUAUAUUAAAUAAAGAUUAUAUUGAAUUUCAACUAAUCUAGAUUUGAGUUAGGUAGAAUAGAACCAUUAGAACUGUAAAAUUCUCCUAAUUAAUAUCGAUUAAUUCAGAUUUGAGUCAGGUAGGACCAUUAGGGCGGCAAAACCCUCCUAUAACUGCAUUCUCAAGACUCGAACCGAGAAUCUUUGUUAAAUUAGAACAACUUCAUACCAGUUGAUCUUCGCGCUUAUUGGUAAAACAUUUUUUCUUUUUUUUAACAAUUAGAUGGAGUUUCUCAUUUUCUAUUAAAUGUGAGUUAUAAUGUUAAAGUCUUAAAGAACAUAUUUUCAUUUUUCAUAUCCUAGACAAUUGGUCAAGUCAAGGCUUUAUUUAGUCAUGUGAAUAAUGAUUGCGAGGAACCUGAAGAAGAUGCGCACUAAACUCCUAUAAUGGAAUUAUAGAAUUUUGACUGGACUCAUAUAAUUAUCCUACAAUUAGCCAUAUGUAAUCUUUAAUCUUUUGUCUUAUAUUUAUUUUAAUACUGGAAAAUUUAGUGAUUAUAUACAUGUACAUAUACAUAUAAUUAGGAAUAACUUAUGUUUGUUACAAAGUCCCCUGACCCAUCAAAUUAAACCGAAAUUAAUAUUUUAGUGCUUAGCAUAUAUAAGUGUCAACAAAAUAUUUGUCUAUGGAUUAUUUGAUUAUAAAAAAAUUUAGGGAAAUUUACAACUGUCCACCUGUUUGUUUUGCCUUUUUCAAAAAUACACAAACACUUUUUUUUUUCAACGCGCCACCUGAAGUUUGCUUUUUGUUGCAUUCGUCCACGUGCGUCUAAUUUCCGUUAGCGAAUUUAACGAAAUGACCUUUUUACCCCUCAAAAUUACAAUUUAACCCAAAAUAAAUAGAAAUUGGAGAUGGAUUUAAUUUUUUUCAAAGGUGGAUGCUAGAAAUUGAAAAAAUAAAUUCAAAUUUUCUAAAUUUAGCAAGCAACAAACACUAUUUUCCUCCAAAAAAAUAAGUACAAAUUUUCUAAAUUUAGUAACAAACAUUAUUUAAUUUAUUUUUUCAAUUUCUAGCAUCCACCUUUGAAAAAAAUUAAAUCCAUCCAAUUUAUCUCCAAUUCCCAUUUAUUUUGGGUUAAAUUGUAAUUUUGAGGGGUAAAAAGGUCAUUUCGUUAACAUUCCGUUAAAUCCACUAACGGGAAUUAGACGGAAGUGGACGAAUGCAACAAAAAGCAAACUUCAGGUGGCGCACUGAAAAAAAAAAGUGUUUGUAUAUUUUUGAAAAAGGCAAAACAAACAGGUGGACAAUUGUAAAUUUUCCAAAAAUUUAAUUUGAAAAAGGCAAAACAAACGUGGACGAUUGUAAAUUUCUCAAAAAUUUAAUUAACUCAUAAAAGAGUAAUUCAUGUAGAUUACAUUACAACUUCAGUAAGAUUGAAUCUCAAAUUAAUAUUGCCAAAAAAAAUUAUUGUGACAUAUUGUAUUUUAUUAUACAAGUCCAAUCGCAUCCAAGCUAUCAAACAACAAAUUGCUGCAGUAACUGUCCCUCUCAUCUUCAGUGCACCCAUUGACGUAGUUUGUGGACGAUGAAUUCAAUGGAGUCGAGCUAGAUGAAGGCGUUGCUAGAACUGAUCCAAAUCUCAUGUUCGCGAUACUGCCACCAUGCAUAUUGUUGUUAAAAUAUGCUUGGUUUUGGUUUAAUGAUGGUUCAACAAUCCUCGAUUGAUUUUCAGUUUCUGGGCCUCCGUAGUUUGACGCUGGAUUAGAUCCUUUUGACAUGCUUUGAGGCUCUACAUUUUCUUGACACAAGUUUGUUAGAAUAUAUUGCCAGCUAAAGUUUGUGGGAUUGGAAGAAAGUUGCUCCAAAAUGGCUUGUGGAGUCUGUGUUUCAUUUACGUAUGGAGGAUUUGAAUCAACAGGUGUCUUUAAGCAAGCUUGAUUAAUUGGGUAUUGGAGAGCUUGAUGAUUUUGUUGUUGAAAGUUUUGAGGAGUAAAUUGUGGAGUUGUGUUUUGGCAAGAUAAGAGAGUGGUGGCUAAAUUCAAUAGAUCAGGAUUCAAUAACCCGAGACUCAAUAGAUUUGAAGCAUUAAGUUGAGUGGAGUUGCAAAGAGAUGAGCUAAGAAUGGAUGAGAGUUCAAGAAGAUCAAGGCGAGGGCUAUGAGUCACAGGAUCUAUCCCCAUUCUUAAUAGUUUCUUCUUGAUGUGUGUGUUCCAAUAGUUCUUGAUUUCGUUAUCAGUUCUUCCCGGCAAGCGAGAAGCAAUUGCUGACCACCUGUAGUAGAACGAUGUAAAUGAUGAUGAGAAAAUUAGACAAUAAAUAUAAAAAAAAAAUAAAAAAAAUGACUUGCAUAUGCAUAAGCCUAGCUAGAUAUGAGAGUUAAAAAACUCUAACUACAAGUCUAAGAAGUAGGUAAUAUAUUUAUUGAAAAGUCUACUAACUUAACUCAUACUCAAAAGUUAGCUUAUGAACUAAGAGGCACCAAAUUUAUAUAUUUAUUUCAAGAUUUAUUCUUAUAUGAUGUAAGAUUACUUCCUUCACAAUAUUUACUAGAAUAUUAAGUAAUUUUAGAGCAAAGAUUCUUUAAAAAGGACCAAAAUUAGUUCUAAGAUGGAAGUGUACUCACUUGUUUCCCAAAACUUUGUGUAAUUGAAUUAUGGCCUCUUCUUCUUCAAGAGAGAACUUUCCUCUCUUGAUGUCAGGUCUCAAGUAGUUUGUCCAGCGAAGCCUGCAACUCUUUCCACACCUCUUUAGCCCUGCAUAAAAUAGCCAUUAAUUAAUAUGACCAAUAUAAAAUAGCCCUGCAUAAAAGCUAACUUGGUACCUCUUAAUUAACAAGCACCGCUUAACAAAAAUGACAUUAAUAUAUUUAUCCAUGCAAACCUGCAUUCUUGGGAAGGGUUCUCCAUCUUCCAUGACCAUGUUUCUGAAUAUAAUCAACAAGCUUCUGAUCUUCCUCAGCAGUCCAUGGACCUUUCUUCAGUCCAUUUUUGUCGGAGCUUGGUGGCCUUCCCAUUUCAAUUACUCGACAAGCUUAAUUUCUUAGAAAUUCUUUUUUUUUUUUUUGGGUGUAAUUUCUUUGAAAUUCUAAUAACACAAGAAAGUGUUUUGUGUGUUUAAUUUGAGUUAGAGAACUGAAGAAACAAAAUUGAAGUCUUUGGAGCAGAGAGCGAAAUGUUGGGCGAGCUUAAACAUAUAUAUAGAAAAACAAGCAAUAAGCUAAGAAAAUUGCUGAAGUCAAUGGGAUUCGGUACCGCCCAUUAAUAUACGUGUCUUCUUUUGAAGGAAAACGCGCUCUCAUACACACAAAACGACACUCUCUUUCAACCUUGUGGAUGUAAAAGUAAGACUUCCUUUUCUGAAUUCUCUAUUGAACUUGAUCACGUAAGCAUGCAACAUGCAAAUUUUAAUUACUUACGUUAUGGGAAAUUUAAACCCGGUUAAAAAUAAUAAUAAUAAAAAAGAGUAAAAAAUGGGUAUUAUGGUGAUUCAGCUUGCUUUUAUGCUUUCUCUUCAUUGUUGAUUAGAUAAAGAGUUAUGGAGCCGAUGACGUGCCAAAGAGAGAUAGGUAGCCACCAUACAAGUGCUGAUGGCUUUAUCUUUUUUUUUUUCUUUUUUUUUUUUAAUAGUUUUUGGUGUGUUGUCUCAAAUCGUAAAACAGGCUGACACGUACAAAUCGUUUUCCCGUUCGCAGAACAUUCUUACUUUUCAAAAACGUAUUAGCUGUCACCAAUUGAUUGCCGCCAGGUAAACCGACGAUUUGGGUCGGAAGGGACCCACCUAAUUGCAUGGCUCGAUCCGGGGGACAGAAGUCACAGAACAAAGCCGAUGGGCUUAUUUAAGCUCCAUGUCCAUAUGCAGUCGGCUGCAGAUCGGCUAGCCAAAUAUUAAGUUAAGCUUUGUUUAUAAUUAGAUUAAUUAAUAAAUAAGCAAUUCAACUUUGACUCUGAAUUUCGCAAUGAAUGAACUUUGAAAUGAUAAUUUUAUCCACGCAGAAAUAGAGCAAAGGUUUGUGAAUUGAUUUAAAGUGGCUUUAAUAGAAAAAGCUCUUUCGAUACCUAAUUAUUGUACAUUUGAGAUUCCAAAUACCAAUUUUACUUGUAUCAUUGCUAGGAACCUAAAAUUUGACUUUUAACUAAUAAUUUAUUAGUUUAUUUGUAAUUGAUAAAUUACAAAAUCUUGAAAUUGAGAAUCAAAUAUUAAGAUUUCUAACAUGACUCGUAAUUAUAACUAAUGAUGAGCGACAUUAUAAGCUCACAUGCCCCAAUGGUUUAGCACCGAGUGAGUUUCAAAGAGUUUUAUUUGAAAAACCACCCGUAUUCGAACCCUAAGAAAAAUAGGAAUUAAAAAUUCAAUUUAGGCUUUGGUUUUUUUAACUUUUUAAAAAACAAAAAUAAAAAUAUAUGUAUUAUAAGCUCAUAGGUGUACUACUUUAAAUUUUAAACACGUGAUCGAUUAUGGGAUUUUUUUCAUUCAACUCAACAGCUAGACAUAGCAGUGACAUAUUGCAAAGAAAAACUGUCUCCCCUACGUGUAGUUUGUAACAGUGAAUUGCUAUAGUCUUCCCAAGGUUGAGUCCAAUCUCUUGAUCAAAUCACAAUUUAAUUCUUGAAAGGGAAAUAUUACAGGUGCUUGAAUACUAAAGUUAGGAAGCUUUCAUUUUCUUUCUUAAUUUAUUUGGAAUUGGCACCAAUUUGAGAUAGAGGAUCUCUUUGUGGGAUGGAAAAUUUUGUAUGAAUGGACAUGAAAUCUAUAUGAAAGCAGUGGUCAAACUAAUGAAUGCGAACAUAUUAAUUAAAACAAUAUUUCUUCAACCUUUGCCUAGCUAGCUUGCUGUUAAAAUUAUUAGAAAUUAUAUCAAUAGUAACAUUAAUAUCAGAAAGGGUCGAACUAUAUUUAUUGUCCUACAACAUUGAACGAAAAAAUAAAUAAUAGCGGGCCACUUGGUACACUUGAUGGUAAGCUAGUCUAUUCCUAGACUCAUUCUAGGAGAUAUAUAUAAAAAUCAAAGGUUUGGUUUACAUUUAAAUCUAUCGUAUCAAUUUUUGUUUAAAAAAAAAUGUUACUAAAAUUUUGAAAAUAAAAUAAAACGGACAGCUACAUAUGAAAAACAAAUUAAACUAGAAUAAUCAUUUGGACUUGUUCCAUACAAUCUGACUUGCAUGAUUGCAUUUCCAGUAAAAUCAUAUCAUUUGGAAAGAAAAAUGUUAGAAAUCAUCAUAUAUAUCAUUUCAGUAAUCUAAAGUACAAAGCGAAUAGCCUAAAUUAGCCAACUUAUCAGCAUAUACUGUAUAGUUUCUUAUCUGAAUACUUGUGUAACUUGCAUGAUUCUAAAAUCCAUAAGAGUCAAUAUAAUGUAUAGUUUCUUGCCCGAACACUUCUGCAGCUUGCACGAUUAUAAAAUCCAUAAGAGUCACACAAUUAUUACAACGAGUAAGAAAUUUUUAUUUUAUCGAUAUAAUGCUGAAAACAUUAGAUGAGAAAUUAUCAUUGUUAACCAACAAGCGCGUAGAUCAAUUGACAUAGGGUUGUUCUACCAUAACCAAAGUCUUCGGUUCGAGACUUGAGAAUACAGCUGCGUUAAAUACUAGUUGGGAGAGUUUUACCACUCUAGUGGUCCUAUCCGGCUCGAAUAUGAAUUAUUCGGGGUCCAAUAUUAAUUUUUGGAUACCAGAUAGUUUAAUAUACCCAAAAAAAAAGAAAUUAUCAUUGUUAUUACUAUUUUUUUAUCAGAGAUGAGAAAUUAAUUAACUUGUCAAUUGAUAGUAAUCAAUUUAAAGUCUAUUUCAUAUGCAGAUAUAGAAUCUAAACUCUAAAAAUUGGAAGCAUAUGGGAGUGUUGCUAGUUCAGUGAAUGCAGACUAGCUUAGACCAAGACUUUCCUCUCGUUAAUUUAAUGUCCACUUCUGCCCCACUGUUUCAUGGUCAAAAGAAGUAUAACGUUUGUUCUUUUUCCUAACUUUAUUCAUUUGUUGAUUAUAAGCUGUCAUGAUGCUCUAAACAAUCUGUGUGGAUAGGGAUCAACGUGCUUUAUUUUAUAUAAUCAAUGGGGCUUUUUUUUUCUUUUUUUUCUUUUUUUUAGGGGAGAGGGGAAAAACAAAACUCUGUAAUCGAGAGUAGCUAGAGGCCCUCAAACCAUUCAAGUUUUCCUAUCGAAUAAAAAUAACUAUACAAUUUCAUGCAUUUGAUUUCAAAAAUAAUUUACCAGAGAAAUAAGUAACAUGUCAAUCACCAGCUGAAAUGACUUGGUUCAUCAGGCUAUGAGUUACAUCAAACGCGACUCAACAAGAGUCUUGUUUUCAACUCGAAGAUUGAAGAAGGUUUGUUUCAUUUGAACAUAUCUUGUGAACACCAUCACUUCAAUCUCAUGUAUGAAGCACGAACCGAUACAUUGUUUUGUUAGCUCGUGCUUGGCCCCCCCACCCACUUUCUCUUGGAUAUCAAAUGCUGCGCAGGAAAUAUUUUCACUGUUCGUGACUUGGCUUGUCAACAAAAGUUUGGGAAAAUUUUGAAACAUGGCAUUCUAAUAACGCUCAGUGAUUGAAUGACUCAGCACCACAGCUCAUCAGCCAAUUAAUCAUGUUAAAAUCAUAUGGUGCCAAUUAAUUCUUAUUCAAACUAGGAACAUGCGCCAUCCAUUUUGAAAUUCUAUUCCUCUUAAUUUGCUCCUUAAGAUUUGCAAAUCUCAUCAAAUGGAUUCAGCAGUUCAUAGAUCUAAUAAUUUCAAGAUCCAACUUACAUGAUUUGCUCAUUCUAGUUAAUUCAGCAGGAAAGUUAAAUUUACUCAUCAAGUCAUCGUUGGGAAUCCAAUCAAUUAGUUGUUACAUAUAAUUCGUAUUGUGUAAAGGCCCUCGGUCUUGUUUGAUUUUAAUCUUGGUCAGCAAUUUCAUCAAAUGAGCACGUGAAACGAAACAUGUGGUACGUACAUAUAAUGGCACCAAGGCAUGAUGAUACCUUGGAAAUGAUUUCAACUGCUAUAUAAUGGAAAUGAUCAAAUAUAUUUAGGACAAGUUUGGUAAUGUUAUAUCCUUUAAAUAAUUAUCAUUAGUUGUGCUGUAAAAAUAAUUAAAUAUGAAGAGAAUUAAUAAAAUAUUUGGUAAAUUUUAAUUUAAAUUAUUUUUAAAAAUAUUGUGAAUUUUAAAAACACUUUCAUGUGUUUGGUAAAUCUCACUUUUAAAAUGUCUAGGAAUGCAAAUGAUUGAAAUAGACAUAAAAUUGAGUAAAAUUAAUAUGUAUAUAUAUGUAUAUGUAAAUGUACAUAUGUACAUAUAAUAUUUUUAUGCUUAUAUAAAACACUUGAUAAUUAACAUGAAUAUCUUUAUUUUAUCAAUUGUAUUUUUUUAUUUUGUUACCUCAAUAUAAUAGGUAAUAAUAAUAAUCUCUUUAAAUUCAAUGAUUUUAUCUCUUAAUUAAAUAAAAAUAAUUAUAAUUUUUUUAUAAUAUAUAUUAGGACAUAUAUGAAAUUGUAUUAAGUAUAUACUUAUUCUCAAAAUCGGAUUUUAAAAGCUACUACUUUCCUACUUUUUGGAAUUUGCUAUAGAAUGAGAUGAUUUUAUCAAAAAUAAUUUUUAAAAAAAGUUCAAAUACUAAAAUUAACUUUUCACUUUUCAAAAUUACUUUUAAAUCUCUUAAAAGCAAUUUCAAACUUCCAUUAGGUGUAUACCAUUAUCACCGGCAGAUUAAGCUGCUUUUAGUUGAUAAAAUUUGGGUUGCAUAUAAAAAAUAAAAUUUCAGAUACAUAAUCUUAUGUUGACUAAGAAUAAUUUUUAGACUAAAUAUAUGAGUUUGGACAAUUUUCCACUUAUGAGCUAGUAUUUGAAGUUAAGAUGAGGUGAUUAUUAUCCAACACUGGUAUCAAAAUGCUUUGGCUUUCACUAAUAUUUUCAGUUUUUCACCCCAAAUGUAACAUCCUAAUAGGAGAAAGAGGUUAUCUUUCCUCAAGUUCCCAAACGUAUUUUUUCUUUUUUUCUUUUUCUAAUGAUGAGUUAUUAUUUUAGAGUUAGGCCAUGUUUAGUAUUGAGGUGACGUAAUUUUUAAGUUACAACUACUGUGAAAAAAAUUAUAAUUAUAAAACAAAAUUAAUAAUAUGUAGUAAAUCUAAAUUUUAAAUAAUAAUUUUAACAAAAUUAUUAAAGAUAUAAUAAAUUUUCUAUUAUACAAGUGAAAAAUCAUAUCAACAUAUUUUUUAAGAUAUAAUAAAUAAUAUUUAUCAAACACUUUAAUGCUAUUUUUUUAAACUACUACUGCCCAAAUUCAAUUCCAAAUGCACCCUUAAUGUAACCAGUUUCCACAAAGGAUUAUUAAAAAAAAAAAAAAGUCCUUGAGUUGUAUGUUGGCCGGUACAUUGUUGGCUAAUCGGCUUGAGUCUGGAUACGUAUUAUAUAUGUUAUCUAAAUAAUAAUUGUCAAUAUUCACUUAGUUUAACAAUAAUUAAAAAGAAAAUCCCUAUCAGAUAAAGCCUGUAUUAAAUAAUUACCAUAAAUGGUCAAACAUUUAUUUAAUUCAUCAACUAAGAUAUGCACUACCCCUGCGUUUUUCUUUGAUUGAUAGUGAUUUUAACAACCGCAUGAAGUUUUCCCAAGAAAUUAAGAAGCACACCCCACCUAUGCAAUGACAAUUCCGGCCCUGUAAAAUUAUCUUAAUUCUCAACUCUCGACCUCAUUGGUGAAAAGUUUCAACAUUCUAUAUCAGAAAUCCUAAAUUAUUUGUGGCCCUAUUAAUUAUAUUGAUACAAUUUUGUCAUGGAGAUUAAGAAGGUUGAAAUUUUGGACCAAUAGAAGAUUGAGACUUGACAAUCAAUACAAUUAUGUAUACAGUAAAAUCAUUUGAUUGAAUUUUGGAGGUAGCCCUUUUAUUAUACCACUAAUAUAUUAUAUGAUUUAGAGAUACUAUUAUUUUAAUACUUAAUUUUUUUUAUCAAUCAUUUUAUCAUAAAAGUUUUUUGACAAUUAUUUUCUCCCACUUAAUGUUUCAGUUUUUAUCAUUUUACCACCAAAUCGUUUACUCUAUUAAUCAAUUGUUGAUAUCAAAAGGGUGUUUUAGAAAUUUUAGUAUAUUCAAUAUUUUAAGAAUUUCAUAAGCUAUCAUAUUUAAGAUAUUAUCAAUUAAUUGUUUUAUAUAUAUAAUAAAGGAAAUUAUCCACCGUCCACAUAUUUGUUUUGCCUUUUUAAAAAAUACACAAAUAUUUUUUUCUUUUUCAGCGUGCCACCUGAAGUUUGCCUUUUAUUGCACUCGUUCACUUUCGUCUGAUCUCCGUUGGUGGAUUUAACAAAAUAUUAAUGAAAUGACCUUUUUACCCCUCAAAGGAAAAUUACAAUUUAACCCAAAAUAAAUGGAAAUUGGAGAUAAGUUGGUUGGAUUUAAGUUUUUUCAAGCAAUAGAGUUAAAAGCAAAGGUGAAUGCUAGAAAUUGGAGGAAAAUAGUGUUUGUUACUUGCUAGAUUUAGAAAUUUUGUAUUUAUUUAAACAACAUCAAUUUUCUUUUUUCUUUUUUUCAAAUCAUGUUAAAUGAAGUCGUUUUACUCUUUUUUUAAAAAAAUUAGCAUAAUACAACAUAAUUUUAAGUAUUCAAAUAAAAUGCCCAUUUUACUCCUCUGACAUCAGCAACGUUCUAACUGCGGUUAGACGGAAGUGGACAAGUGUAAUAAAAUGCAAACUUCAGGUGGCACGCUGAAAAAGAAAAAAUUGUUUGUGUAUUUUUGAAAAAGGCAAAACAAAUAGGUAGACGGUGGAUAAUUUCUCAUAAAUAAUCAAUUGAUGAAAGUAUUAUUUCUUGGUAUAUAAUUAACUUUGUUUUUUUUUUUUUUCGAUUUAGAGGGUCAAAUUACACAUACAUAGUUUAGGGCUAAAAUAGAUUUUUACUAUAAUUUUGAUUAAAAAUUCUGUUAGCUUUAAAGGUUUAGUGAUAAAAUUAUAAAGACUAAAACAAUAAAUGGAAAAAAGUAAUUAUUAGAAAAAUUUAGUGGUAAAGUAAUAUAUCAGAAAAUACUUGAUGGUAAAAUGAUAAUAUACAAUUCAUUCCAAGACCUUGUUUUAUUAAGUCAUAUAAUAAUAUAACUUACAUCCACUAAGAGUUGUUCUGAUCAAUAACCUAAGAGAAGUUGUUAGAAUGUUCAUGAUAAACGUGCAACUCGCCAUCAUGAAUAUGUCAUGUAAGGUAAUUGUGUUGCAUGGAGAAUAUUUUACAGGGAAUACUUGUUAUAGUUUUAUUACAUUCUUUUAAAGCAUUGGCCAAUUAUAUAUUAUACUCGUUAUAUUUAUAUAGAGCAUGUAAUUUAAUUAAUAAUUGAACGUUAGUUCAUAAUUAACCCAGGUCAAUAGCCACAUCAUUGCCUGCUGGAUCAUCAUCUCGCUCUAUUUCAAGAUUACAUUGCGGCGACUAGAAUUUCCAAGUUUCUAGACCAUCUAUAUAAAAUUAUCAUGAGAAAGACUUUAUGUUAUAAAUUUCAAUUACCCAUUUAGCUUUAAUACAUAUCACAACGAAUUUUAAUAAACUACUGGAGUCAUAACCUCAGCAUUGAUCUUAUCUGUUUUUGGUUGCGCAGAAUUUAUCAUGUCCUUUAAAUCUUUGAAGGCUCAGUAUUAAUCAUAUACUCAUUAUAGUAUACGAUGGUCGUUGAUAACCAUAUAUAAAUUAAACUAUAGAUAUAUCAUGGUAGCUAGACUACUAAAAUUCAUAUAUAAUCAGACUGUUAUGACGUGUCUUAAAUAAAGUUUCUAAUUAAUUAGGUGAAUAAUUACACUAUCUUUGGGUUUACGCAAUAUGUGAUUCAUUAAAUACGUUCGCGCAUGUGUGGUUAAUAUUGUUUGGGGCUGACCAUGAAAUAUAUUUCACCUUACUUUUGCUGUGUAUAAAUGCAACACGUAAUCGUCUUUAAUUUUCUUUUGCACGUAACCAUAUAUGAUAGUCAAAUUUGUUAAGGGAUGAUGGGGUAUCAUAUAUAUAAUCUAUGGUUACAUUGCAUGCGUCGGAUACUAUAAUGAGAAAAUGAUACCAUCUUUGGAAAAUGUAAGAUGAUAAAUCUCUAUAAUUAAUGAACCAAAACAGUCCAUGAGUCAUCAAAUGCUUCACAGUUUAAUUAUAUACUUGUAUUGUGCUAACUGGUAGUGGUUGCUAAUUAUGGAAAUUUAAAUUAUUCGAUGUUUCAUGUCAGGAUGCUAUUUGUGUUUUGAAAAUUUAGAGCUUGAUUGAUUAAAAUUGUUGCACAUAGCAUCGAUCCUUGUAAGCUUAAAUCAAAAGUAUGAGUUGAUUUUUAUUUUUAUUUUGGUGUAUGAAUAGAUUAGGUAGACUAAAAUUACCUAAACAUUAAAAUCAAAUAUUCUGCUAGAUAUGAUUUGUGCAGUAGCUUCAACAAAACUUAACUAAUUUAGUUAACUAUAUGUUAAGCAUGCGUUAAGUAAUUAAGUAAGUGUAACGUGUGCAUAAAAUUUAGGGUUUUAUAAUAAGAUAUGGAUUUGUAAAUAUUAUUCAUCGGCCAAUAUGUAAAUACUAUUCUAGAAAAAAGAUAUUAUGAAUUAACUAAUAAUUAAUUUCUUGUUUUUCCCUAAUGGGGUACGAAUAAUUUUCAUAUAUACACCUAAUCAUAUAGAAAUAUUACGAGGGCAAUGUCGAAUUAAAUGAAUUUCAUAAAAUAAAAUUAAUAAAUAUUUGAAUUGACUUCUAAUACUAAUUAGAUAAAGUGCUUGAUGGAGAACCAGUUAAAGUAUUUGUUUGAAAACUUUUUAUUUGUGUGCUAUUUAAUUGAUGAGAAAAAUAGUUUUUUUUUUUUUUUUAAGAAGCAGAGCAAAAAGGAUGGUUGAAUAGCUCCACUCCAAUUGAGAAGAUACAGUUUGAUGGGCCUCCAUGAGUCAAGUUAUCAAAGCCCACCGUUCAUUGCAAUGGAUUUCUAACUGAAGGAGUUCUAUUUAGUAUUUACUCUGUUCUUCUUAAUCCACCCCUUUUAACAAAGUCUGGAAAAAACAGAUCUGGGCUCACUUUCAAGCAAAUCGGUACUUCAUCAUCAUCAAACAAUCAUGCAUCGUAUUCGUGGGAUUGAACACUAAUGAUCAUUUUGAUUUAUGAGCAGACAGUGAGUAUAUUUUUUUUCCCUUUUAAAAAACACAAUAAAUAAAUAAAUUUGGGGACAAAGAAAAAGAUAAUUUAAGGUGCCGAAUAUUUGGUGAUAAGCAUCGAAUUGCACUAUUUAUUUCUUCGAAUAUUAUUGCGAUAAUUCUAAACAAAUGGUAAGAAAGAAUAUUGUACAAAAUAAAAAUAGAAAAGUCAAAGAAAAAAAGGUCAUAAGAGACUCAAAUACGCCAUUUCUAAGAGAAAUGUUGCGCUUCUCAGUCUCAAAUAAGAGAUAGUGUGAUAUAAUUAUAAAUAAUUUCAUAAUUUAUAAAUUGAUUAUUGAAUACAUAAGUUUCGGUGUGUAUAAAAGAUAGGAAUAUUAUAAACUUAUUUAGAAACUCUAAUAUGGGUUUAUCAUGGGACAAAAAUUCGGUACUGAUCGUAAUCCUCGAUCAUAAUAUUCAUUACGUUAUACCUUACAAUUUAGAUACCAUUAGAUGGUUAGAAAGUUAAUAAAAAUUAAUAAAACCCUUAGCUAUGUGAGGAGGCCUAAGAUGUGGAAUACAAGCACCGUAGUCCAUGGAUACAAAUUUCAUUAUUACUGAUUUAUUAAACAAUAAUUGAGGGUCAAAGCCCUCCAAUUGUGAAAUGUGAUCACAUGAGAAUUUGCCAUUCUCACUUUGUAAAGCAGCCUGCUCUUAACUUCCUCCAACCGUCGACUGAACAUAUGCCGCUCGCAUCACUAAAUUCAAAAUACGAUUGUGACGCGUCACGCUAUCAUUGGUCCUUUCCCAUUUAUUCCCGCGAUCUGCUUUAACGCUCAUGAGCCCACAAAUUCCCCCUUUUACAUCUGGAAUCAAAUUAUUAAUAAUAAACUAUACUGGAAAUUUAUCACUCAUUCCCCUUGAAAUUUAUGAUAUUCUCACAGAGAUAGCAUAUUUCAUUUAAUAGUCGCUUAGCUCCCAUUGAACAAAAUUGAGGACACUUCAAUAACUUACAAUGUGCUCAAGAUAAACACGCUUCUGACAUCCAAAGUUAGCUUCUUUUUUUUUUUUUUUGAAAAAUCAAAAGAUUACGAACAAGAAAUUGAAUUCUACACUUUUAUAAUUUUCUUUGGUCUCAAUUUAUAAUAGAAAAAGAUUUAUGAGUGCAGGAUUGAUGUUUUUUUUUAUCAAUCCAAUCCAUACAAUCAGAUGCCUAUUGAUAUUUACAUAUGAUAUUUAUUGAAACCACUUAGAUUACUUUUAUUAUGAGAUAAUUCAAAUUUAUAUCUCAUAUACUUUGAAUGUUUUAUUUCACUUAUAUUUUUUAUUAGAAGAGGAAACAGUCUCUUACUGGACUCAAACUGCUACUCUCACAAUUAAUCCCACUCGGACACUUGACAAUUCGACAUGCAUGAGAAGAAAAAAAAAAUUAUUUUGAUAAUUAAUUAAAAAAAGGAAGUGAAUAAAUCCCGGCCAUAGAAGUUUAAAUCUGACACGUCUCAUGAAAAAGAUUAGAAAACAUUCUUCCUCGCUGGUUUAUUUUAAUACAGAUCUAGGGGAGCAAAUAAUAAACAGACCAGAGUAGUUGAUUUAAGACGAAACAAUAAGAAUAAGAGCAAACGUCACGAUAACAUGAUUCAUGAAAAACAACAACAAAAGAAGCUUCGCAGGUCCCGUUUGCUUCUUCCUGUCAUCAUUCCUUCCUUUUUCAUUAUUGUUGGUGGUUGUCUCUGCUUUUACAUUAUAAUAUAUUCAUGAAACCGCGUUCUGAUUUAUUCCCAAGAAGAUAAUUGUAUCUAGAAACUCAACUCUUGUUCAUUUUCUUAAUUUGGCGGCCCUUCAGGUAAGCGCCAUCAACUCGGUUACGUUAUAUAUAUUUAGUAAACCGUGUCGAUGAAAUCUCCAUUCCCUCUUCUUUUUCUUUUUCUUUUGUUGAUCUUUCUAUGAUUGUUUCCUUGCAAAACCCAACAAACAAAUUGAAAUAAAAAAGAAAAAAGAAAAAGAAAAAUUGGGAUUCUUGAACAGCGUCAUGUUACCUGCAGGUAACCAAACAGAGAUGAGAGACAAAAAGGGAUUCUUUAAUAGCGUUGCCUCUGGUUCUGGGACUAUCUUGCGUCCCUUGCAUGAUCUCCUACACAGAAGGUGGACAAUUAAAUGAAUUAUGAGCUUAUUUAUUUCGAUUUUUGCUUGUUAUUUUUUUUAUUAUUUUUUUAACUUUGUGGGUGUUCUCGAUGUGCUGAUUCAUGUGAGAUUCUACUCGAGAAUCAUGAUUGAAGUAAAUGGGAACCUGGGAGUCUGAUAAAAUUGUUGUUCCUGAAUUAAGUGCUAUUAUUGAUGUGAAUUGAAUUGGGUUUGUGAAUUACAUGAUCUGAAGGAAACAAAAUGGCUUAAUAUUAAGUUUCUGUAUUUGAUGGCCUCUUUUGAUGCAAUGUGCAGUUCAGAGGAAGCGGCGGCUACUCCCAAAUCGAAGAUUUUAAACAACUAUUACAUUCCAAAUUACAUUCUUGUAUCUGGAUCGGAGGUUCAAAGAUCUAGCCUCAUACCAUCUUGUCCGGUGCUAGUGUUCAUCAACUCAAAAAGUGGCGGCCAGUUGGGCGGGAAGCUUCUGCUCACUUACCGUUCCCUUCUUAAUGAAAACCAGGUAAUUCCAUAAUUACAUUGUCUGCAAACUUAAGGCUUCUAGUUGUGAAUGCGGGUAAACUGUUUUUUGUGGAAUUGAUGCUAGGGUGACCAAAUUUUCAGGUUAUUGACUUGGGAGAAAAGGCACCUGAUAAAGUGUUACAUCAGCUUUAUGUCACUUUAGAGAAGUUCAAGGCUGCAGGAGAUGUUUUUGCUUCUGAAAUUGAGAAGAGGUUGAGAUUAAUUGUGAGUUGGCUUGUUCAUGUAUAUGCAUAUCUAUAUUACCGUUCGUAUUUUUAUGUUCCGUAAGUCCCUAAUUUCUGUUUCUAACAUGUGCUGUAAAAUCAGGUUGCAGGCGGAGAUGGUACGGCUAGCUGGCUCCUUGGAGUUGUUAGUGAUCUAAAACUACCUCAUUCACCUCCAGUUGCGACAGUGCCACUAGGAACAGGAAACAACAUCCCGUUCUCAUUUGGCUGGGUACGUUAAUUGUUUACUUGUCUUGUGAUGCUGAAUUUAGAGAAUGUCAAUCUUCUGAUUGUUUUGUGUUGAUUUCAUCCAUGGGUAAAGAUAUUAGUCAUUUUUGAAACCACUGGUAUGACUCAUAACUAGAAUUUUAUGCUUCUAUUUUGUUUUCAGGGAAAGAAAAAUCCAAACACAGAUCAACAAGCAGUGCUAUCGUUCUUGGAACAAGUAAAGAAUGCAAAGGAAAUGCAAAUUGACAGGUAAGGCAUUCAUAAGGGGUCAUACUAUCGACUUCUGAAGUUUACUUGUUCAUGCCAUCUCCACUUAUAGUGGCACUUAACUGCAGGGUUUGAGACUUGCAUAAAAUCUGAUAGUAACCUCAGUGAAUUUAAUGUUGGAGGUAAAUGUUUGAGUCAAACAUGUAUCGAAUUGCUAGUAUUUUUUUUAAGGAGGAAGUAUGUCAUUAUAAGAGUUAACGUGUUGCAGUACUUUUUAUAGUCAAUGAUGGUUGUCCUCAGAAAUCCCUGCUAAACCAUGUUAGAUUUGCUACAGAAAUCUAAUUUUGCUAUCAUCAUAUUCAAUGCCAUGGUUGUCUUGUCCACAGAAAUCUAAAAUGCUUCUCUGCUCAAUCUUUUAUUUUUAUUUUCUGUUUACCAACUAUAUGUUCUUGAUUGCAUUUCAGCUGGCAUAUUCUCAUGAGAAUGAAGGCUCCUAAAGAAGGAUCUUUUGAUCCCAUUGCACCUCUUGAACUACCUCAUUCUUUGCACGCAUUUCAUCGUGUCUCUCAAAAAGAUAAACUGAAUGUGGUAAGUCUUCAUUUCCAUUAUUUGUGCUUGCUAAAUGCUCCCUUUCAUUUUUCAUAUACCCUAUUUGCUUCAUCUACUUCAAUCAAUGAUGUAAUAUGUGGUAACAAGUGAUUCGAGAUGCUGUCACUCUUAGACCUCUUCUGCUAUUCCAGUUCUCUAGAAAGUUCAGAUACUCUUAGAGAGAAGAAAGGAUAGAGUGGUAGGCAUCCAUGCACAUUAAAUCAAAAUAGACUCUUUACUCAUUUUUAUCCCGAACAAUAAUGGUGAAUUACUUAAUGGAAAACCAUGACAUCUGAGAGCAACGUCAGACUCUUCAAAAGACCUAAAUGUUCUCAACUUGAUAACUGUAAAAAUUUAGGCAUGAUCCUUAUCCAAAAUUGAGCAUUUAAGAUUGACAUAACCUUAGUUUUUUGAACUGAUUAAAUUCAAUGCUCAAAAUAGCACAACUUUUUUCAUCACCAGUCUGUGCCACUCUGCUCAUGCACUUGACCAUUUAAAUACCUCACUUCCCUAAUUUGGAAUUGUGCAUGGAGCGAAUUAUUUUUGCACUUUUCAAUAAGGUCAUCAUAAAAACCCAUAGAAUAUUAAGAUCACAACCAUGGAUCACAAGUCAGACACAAAAUGAGUAUUUGAAUCUGAGAACUGUCAUUACUUUGCUGUGGUUUAAUUUAAUUUCUGAUGUUUAUUUGCUUCAUAUACAUGUGGUACUACUUUGCUUGCUUAAUGGGAAAUGUUUUUACGAUGUUCUCAGGAGGGCCAUCACACAUUUCGUGGGGGAUUUUGGAACUACUUCAGCAUGGGUAAGAAAUCUAACAUUUGUUUGCUAGUAGCCUCCACUCCUCCAACAUCAGAAUAAUUACUGAGUUUAUUUAACAAACGUUUAUGUGUUUUGUGCAGGAAUGGAUGCUCAAGUAUCAUACGCAUUUCACUCUGAGAGGAAGUUACACCCAGAAAAAUUCCAAAAUCAAUUAGUUAAUCAGGUAGGAAUAUAUAUAUAUCUUCACUGUUAUUGAAACAUAUUUCACUUGUCUUCUCCUUAAUGUGAAUCCUUAUAAUAUUUCGGCUGCUGUUGACAUUCUUUCUUUCGAUAUUGCAGAGUACUUAUUUGAAGCUUGCUGGUACUCAAGGAUGGUUUUUGGCUCCUCUAUUGCAUCCUUCUUCAAGGUGAGUCUUUGAAUUGAUGAUUGAUAUAAUAUAUUCUGUAAAAUAUGUCAAUUACUUCACCUUUAUGUCUAUCAAUUCAGGUCAUUUUGAAAUUAACAUUUCAAUAUAAGCCUGAUGUUGCAAUCUCAGCUGUCUCGGCAUGGCCCCAAUAAUUUUAGUUAUGCUGGUCAGGACUGUUUGAUGAAAUUAAAAUUUCCAUAUAGUGUGUAGUCUUAUGAUGUUGAGAGGCUCUGUCUUCUGAAAAUGUUAAAUGUAAACUAAAACUAUCAAGUGUUUUGUUGUUUAUCCAUGCGACUCUGUCAGCCUGUCAGUAGUCCAUUCAACAUAGCUGCUGUCUUCAAAGAAUACUUGGCCAUGGAUGUCAGAGACUAACUUUGUCUUUUUGAAAUCUCUCUUGAUGCCUUUACUUGAUAAUUAUCAAUUUUUCGCUGUUGCACUACUGCACUAAAAUCAUAUUGAACUACUUAGUCACUAGGCUGUCUCCCCCAUGGUUUGAGUACUUCAAUUUUUGAAUGAAUUAUUGUUACCUUAAUUGAGUAUACGAUAAUGAUAUAAGAUCAUUAUCAUAUACAUAUAUUUCUUUUUUUUGUUCAAUCCGUAAUUUUCUUUAGACUUAUGGUUUGGUUUACUCUUCUAGUUAAUCUUUGUGUUGAUAAUGUUUGUUGAUUUACAUGAUUUUAUUACAGAAACAUCGCACAGAUGGCAAAAGUUAAAAUUAUGAAAAAGCAAGGCCAAUGGGAGGAACUCCACAUACCUCGCUAGUAAGAUGAUAUAUUCUAUCCCUAGUUUCGAUUCAUUAAUUCAUUUGAUUCCUCGUUUCACUCCGAUUUUCCUUCCCAUUUCACUAAUACUUCAUCUUUAACAUACAGCAUUAGGUCUAUUGUCUGCCUUAACUUGCCCAGUUUUUCUGGUGGACUUGAUCCUUGGGGGAAACCAUUCAGGAAGAAACUACGUGAGGUUAGUUCUAAUUUAUUUGUUAGCCUAUUAUUUCAUGAGUUAUCAAGUAAAAACAUAUUUAUCAACAAUUAGUCUCCCCAGCACAAAUCAGAUACUAAUCCGUGAUGGUUUUAAUUUUUAGAGAGGCUUGACUCCUCCAUAUGUUGAUGAUGGCCUGCUUGAGAUUGUUGGUUUUAGAGAUGCAUGGCAUGGGCUUGUAUUGCUUGCCCCUAAUGGACAUGGAACUCGUCUUGCUCAGGUAUGAAGAUAAUUGUAACUUUUAUGAUGACAUUGCUGCUUGCCAAAAGUGUGUGCUGGUAUCGUCUGGAAGCCAUUCCGCUGCUGUCCCUUCUGCUUAUUUUUCACUUUUUCAUUUCUAUUUUCUCAUACAGGCAAACAGAGUCCGUUUUGAGUUUGAGAAGGGUGCUGCCGAUCAUACAUUCAUGAGGAUUGAUGGAGAGCCAUGGAAACAACCUCUCCCCGUUGAUGAGGACACAGUUGUCGUAGAAAUUUCCCACCUCCGCCAAGUGAACAUGCUUGCCACCCCAUGUUGCCGCUCGAGAAGCAUAAACGAUGCCCCUUCUCCUGCAAGUAUUAUUGAUGAAGAUUGCGAAAGUAUCGAAGAUGAAUCUUCUGAAGAUUGGGAAGAGAGGAGAAAAUUCGGUGCAGCUGACACAUUUAAAAUCCCAGAGGAGGUUGAUAUAACUCAGCUUAGCUGAAAAUACCAACAGCUAAGCCUGGGUACAUAUGUACAUAAUACAGCGUGUCGAUCAAUCUUCUUUUUCUUUAUUUCAUUAGUAAUUAGCAUUUAGAUUAAUUUUGAUUAUGGUUUUAACUGAUUGAUGUUGUUUCUUCUUCCCUGUAAAGUUCUGUUUGUAAUAUACGGUACGGUUGGAAUUGAUGAGUCGCUCUCUUUAAUUAAUGUUUCAUUGGUCUCAUAUUAGAAAGCUAAUUAGCUAAGUUUUUUUUUUUUUUUUCCUAAAUUAGAUUAUGCCAAGGUUAAGGUUCAUUUAAUUGUGAAAAAUAACCAAAACCAUCAGACAACAGUGUGGUUUAAAUUUAUUUAUUUAAUAAAAUCCGUUGAUCUCGAAUUCAUUGGCGCCCCUGAUCAGAAUUUAAAAAAAAAAGAAAAAGAAUAAUCAUCAAUAUAUUCUUUUGAGUGGGAAUAUACGCGAAUUAACGAAACAAAAACGUUGACGACCAAAGAAAAGCAAAGCGAAUGGUUUCAUUUUCAUGAAAAAUUGUUUACUGUUUGGAAUGUAUUGUACGGUUGAGUCGUCGUCUUUAAUUCAUCUUUUAUUUCAGAAUCUCUGUAAUAAGUUAAUUCAAACCGCUAACUAAUUUAGCAGAGAAAACUUAUGUAUGUGAGUCGUCGAAGAAGUAAUCCCACAUUGCUUAAUUGAUAAACAUUUCUUGGUUUAUAAAUAAAACCCAAGAGAACCCGGGGCCGAGGGCCACAAAGAGGAUAAAAAGAAAAAACAACAAACCCGUCCCCGUUGAGGCCCUUUUUGGUAAUUUUGUUUUAAGUUUAUGGGCUUAAGGGAACUGGGCUCAACCUUUUAUAUUUGUUCAUUUCAAAUUACGGCCCUUUUAAAUAGAAUACUCAAUGUCUGGGUUCAUUUUGAUCCAUUGUCAGUCAACACAUUCGAGCAAAAUUUUAUGCGAAGUAAAUGGUUUCAGAUUCAUGUAAAAUUGUACGUGCUUCUUACACGUGCUGUAAUUAUAUGAGUAUUUCAUAAUUUUUUAUAUAAACUUUGAAAAAUAAAAAAUUAUAAUCAUAAAAAUUCCCUAAAUUUAAUAAAAAAUAAAUCUCAAAAUUAGAAGUUUUAUUUUUAAUAAAAAUUAUGAAAAUUUGAGAUUUAAUAAAAAUCCCCUAAAUUAUUAAAAUUUUAGGAUUUUCUCUUUUAAGAAAUAAAUUUAGUUAUUUUAAUAAAAUUUUACAAAAUUAUAAUUUUUAAUAAAUAAAUUCAGUUAUUUUUAUUAAAAUUUUGCAAAAUUAUAAUUUUUUAAUAAAAAUGAUUAAUAAAAUUUUGUAAAAUCUAAAUUUAGUAAAAAUUAGUUGAGCACCUCUAUUUGGGAUGUAUUUUUUUUAUUAAACUUAUGGAUAUUUUUAUGAUUAUAAUUUUUAUUUUUCAAAGUUUAUAUAAGAUAAAAUAGUUUUUUAAUUUAUUUUAGGGUAAAUUUGUCAUUUUUAAAUUAUUUAACGAUGUCAGUGUAAAAGUGGUUAGUUGAUAUUGAUGUGAAAAAAAAGUUAGUGCAGAAAAUAUGUUAUAAUUUUGUGAUGGUUGGAUGAAUAAAAAAAAAGUGGUUCAAUGAUAAUUUCCCAAAAUUUAAUAAUGUCUACUACAAUAAUAAAAAAAGAAGAGAACAAUUCAAUUAUUUUAAUAAAUGCUCUCUACUUCUGUCUUGUAUUUUUCUUCAUUGAAUUUUCUUUUUGUUGUUUAAACCGUUAAGUUUUGAGUGCACUUUUUAUACUAAUUGUUGUUGAAUCUUGAAGAUCAUAUCGAAAAAUCUUCCUUUGAGGCGUGAAAAUUUGUCUUAAGGACAUGCCUUGACAAAUAUAUAAUUAAUGUGUAUUGGGUAGGAUAAGUAGUACCAAUGAAUAGUAAUGUAAACAUUACCAACAGUAAUUAUUCAUAAAAUUUUAUUCUCCAUGUUCUAUAUUUGUCUCAGUCUAUUAUUAAUCAAUGUUUAUUGAUUAAUGUUGUUGUUUUAGUUGGGUUAGGAGUUUAAAGAAACAAUAUUGCCUUAUAAAUAUAAGUACUCGUCUUUAUUCAUCUCUAAUCGAUCCUCAAAUUCAAAAAGUUAAUUUUUAUUUGACUAAUCACGUUACCCGUGUAAAUAUAUUGAAGUUGGCUUAUAUAAGUGGAUUAGCCAAGUUUUUUUUUUUCUAAAUUAGAUUAUGCCAAGGUUAAGGUUCGUUUAAUUGUGAAAAAUAAACCAAAACCAUCACACAACAGUGUGGUUUAAUUUUAUUUAUUUAAUAAAAUCCGUUGAUCUCAAAUUCAUUGGCACCCCUAAUCAGAAAUAAAACAAACAAAUAGAAUAAUCAUCAAUAUAUUCUUAUGAGUGGGAAUAUUUUCUCCACAAUUUGUGUAAACCACCUCAUUUUAGAAAAAUAAUAUCCGAAGACUCAUAAUAUCAUUUUUAAAUAAUUCAAAAUAAAUAAAAAUUUAAGAAAAUUAAUCAAUUAAAUCUUUCAUUUUGUGCUUUAAAUUUCUCACCAAAAAAAAAAAAAUUGCUAUAACAUAAGUUUCAAUUGACUAUUUUUUUUCUUUAUCAUCUCCACAUGUUAUGAUAUAAAUUUUAUAGUUUGAUAAAUUUUAUGAGAUAUUUGUGAAAUUUUAUGAGAUAUUUGUGACAAAGAUUUUUUUUAAAUUUUUAAUUGAGGAUUAAAAAUUAUACUAAUAAAGUAGUAUCGAUAAAUAAUUUAGAUAACAGAAUUCUAUGUAGAAUAAAAUUCUAAAAAAAAAUGUUGAAGUUAAAACGAGUUUUUGAUAUUUUGAUACUACACCUAUUAAGGGUAAAAUAAUCAAACUAAACUUAUGUUAAAAACUUAAAUCGUAAAGAAAUAAAUCAUGAACGGAUUAAAUUCAUUAAUUGCACAAAAUUCAUGCUUUAAUUAAUAAUGUAAAAUUCUUUAUAUUCAAUUUUUUUCAAGACUGGGGCGAAAUUAAAGUUACACCAAUGGUCCCAUUCUUAUGACACAUUAAAGUGAAAAGCUAAAAAUUAAUCAAAACGUGAACAUGUAAGCAAAGUCUCACGACUUUGAACAAAUUACGCAAAUUAAUGAACCAAAAACGUUGACGACCAAAUCAAAGCGAGUGGUUUCAUUUUUCAUUAAAAACUGCCGACCGUUUGAAAUGUAUUGUACGGUUGAGUCGUCGUCUUUGAUUUCCUGGUUUAUUCAAACCACUAACUAAUUUAGCAGAUCAAAGUUAUGUUUGUGAGUCUUCGAAGAAGUAAGUAAUCCCACAUUGCUUAAUUCAAUAAAAUUUAUUGGUUUAUAACUAAAAUCAACUUUAUUGAUACGGCCAGGGGGUCUAAAGGGAGAACAUGUAUCUCUUCCGAGGCUCGCUGAUUUUGUUUUAAGUAUUGGGCCAAGCGGAACUGGGCUCAACCGUUUAAAUUUGUUCAUUUAAAUCACGGCCCUUUUAAAUAGAUUAGGCAAGGUCUGGGUUCAUUUUGAUCCAUUGUCAGUCAAUACAUUCGAGCAAAUUUUUAAGCAACGUAAAUGGUUUCAUGUUCAUGUAAAAUUGUACGGACUGAUUAAGUUGACCACACUUUUACAGUUUAAUGAUUGCAACUGUUUGUAAUUCGUCCAUCCAUGUGAAGUCAUAUACCGUUUGUAAUAUAUUAUGCGUGUUGUAAUUAUAUGAGAAUUUCAAAAUAUUGAUAUCCCACAAUAAAGUAAAGUGAGAGCAAUUUUUUUUUUUUUGUGUUUAAUUUAAAAUUAGUCAUGUACAAACUAGAGUUGAAUAAAUGAAAUUUACAUGUGAUUUGAAUUAUUCGAGUUGAAUUAAAUUGUGAUACUCAUGGAUAACAAAUUCAAAUUGAAUAAGAAAAGUGAAUGAUUAAUUCAAAUUGAAUGAGAAAAAGGUCUAUAUAAGAGAGACCUAUAAAAUCUUUAGUAAUAUCUAUUACGACAAUAAAAAGAGAAGAGAACAAUUCGAUUAUUUUAAUAAAUGCUCUAUGCUUUUGUCUUGUAUUUUCCUUCAUCGAUUUUUCUUUUUGUUGUUUAAACCGUCAAAUUUGGAGUGCACUUUUUAUAGUAAUCGUCGUUGAAUCUUGAAGACCAGAUCGAAAAAUCUUCCUUUGAGGCGUGAAAAUUUAUCUUAAGGAUACGACUUGACAAAUAUAUAGUUAAUGUGUAUUGGGUAGGAUAAGCAAUAACAAUGAACAGUGAUGUAAACAUUACCAACACUAACUAUCCAUGAAAUUUUAUUCGCCACGUUCUAUGUUUGUCUCGGUCUAUUAUUAAUCAAUGUUUAUUGAUUAAUGUUGUUGUUUUGGUUGGUUUAGGAGUUUAAAGAAACAAUAUUGCCUUAUAAAUAUGAGUCCUCGUCUUUAUUCAUCUUUCAUCGAUCCUCAUAUUCAGAAAGUUAAUUUUUAUUUGACAAAUCACGGAAUCCGUGUAAAUAUAUUGAAGUUGGCUUAUGCAAGUGGAUUUUAGUGGAGGCUCAACUCGAUUCACCAAGGACCCUAAAGAGAGCAAAACCAAGCCCAGCGAGAGCUGGACACUAGAGCAGACAUGAGGGCCCUUUUGUAAUUUUGUCUCAAAGUUUUUUAUUGGGCUAGACCGAUUCGGCCCAAACUUUUGAUUUUUCUUUUUAAACUAUUUCGGCCCUGCUCGCAUAUUCUUUGACGCGUAAAAGAGAAAAAAUAACACAUGGACCACUGCUUGCCAACACAAGGAAGCAAAAAGCCUCACGAUUUUCAACAAAUUAAGUAAAUCAGAAGAAACAAAAACAAGCAAAGCAAAUGGUUUCAUGUUGAAAAAACCAUGGGUUCUGUUCCCUGACCCACCGGUUGAAUUUUUUAGAAGGAUGAAAAAACCCCCAGCGCCGCUGGUUUUACUGGCUUUUAAUUCUUUUAUUUCUCACACUAUAAAUAGCCGACGACUCCGUCAAUCAGAGAGCAUCGAGUUGUUUAAAUCCCCAUAGAAAAACUCAGAGCCACCCCACUUCUUCCAAUAUACACAUAUUCAAAAUCCCAUAUCUCUGUAUAUUCGAAGUUGCAGAAUUCAAAAAAAAAAAAAAAAAAAGAUUGAAACAUGAGUGCAGCAGCAAGAAAGGCUUGGUUUGUGGCAGCGAGUAUUGGGGCUGUUGAGGCAUUGAAAGAUCAAGUGGGAAUCUGCAGGUGGAAUUUUAUUAUAAGGUCCGUGCAUCAACAUGCAAAGAACAAUUUGAGGUCAUCGCUCAAUCAAGCCAACAAGGCCAUCUCUUCAUCUCCAGCUUCCAGGGAGAUUUUUAAUAGUAAUAAUUUUUAUAACAAGGCGAAGAAGCCCGAGGAAAAGGUCAAAAGGGUCAUGGAUUUGAGCUGCUGGGGUCCUAGUACUGUUAGGUUUUGAUGACUUUGAUCUUGAUAAUCACCAUCAUCGUCUCAUGAAUGUACAUGAUCCGAUGUCUUCUUAUUUAGAGAUAAUUAUUUAUCUAGUUAUGUCUUUAUUUUUUUUUUCAAUUUUUAAAUGUAAUAUCAAAUUCUACCUCUUUAUCUUUGAUAUAUAUGAUAUGAGUGGAAUUUGAUGAAUUCAUUCAUAAUCCUUCUAAUCAUUUGAAGAGAUUUUGUAUCAGGUGGUUGGAUACUUAAGGAGUAUUCACCAAAUUAAUUAAUCAGUAGCGAUUUAUACUUAGUUUUUGAUUCACCAAUGCUAAGAGACAAAACUAAAAAUUUAUUAUAAAUUAAUUAAUUGUCAAUUUAUCAUCAUCGUUAUUAUCAUUGUUGACUUUCCUUGAAUUUUCCGUCUGGGUAUAAACUAUAGUGUCACAGCAAAUUGACAAUAACAAACAAUUUUUUUUUUUUUUUGAAAUUACAGCAAAAAGAUAAAUAAUUUAGAUUCAAAUACUUUGGAUUGUUUCCUGUUGGCUUGAAUAACCAAGAACUGCUUGUUGUCUUUUCUACUAGCCAAUUCUAUAAAAGAAAGGGGUCUUAGCAGAAUCAGGAGAACAGAAAAAUUCUCUUGAUUUUGAGCAGCUGCCAAAAUCACUAUUUAAAUUGUAAGAAACAAUUAAAAUGAGUACGUCGGCAGGAAAAGCUUGGAUUGUGGCAUUGAGUGUUGGUGCCCUGGAAGCUUUUAGAGAUCAGGCAGGAAUUUGCAGAUGGAAUAACAGUUUAAGUUCUUUUGCUCAGGUCAAUUUAAUUUAUGCUCCAGCUUCUGAUUUCAGGGAUAUGAUCAAUUUUUCAAGCGUUUUCAGAAACAAGAACUCCAUGGAAAAAAUCAUGCUUUUGGGCUGUUGGGGUCCUAAUACUGUUAGAUUUUAGUUCUCAAAAUUGGAAUUUUUUUCUUUUUCUUUGGGCCAACAUAAAGAUUGUAGUCAUGGACUUCUGGGUGCCAGCAUUUUAUAAUAAACAUAUGCUUAGCCAAAUUUCAUAAUUCUAUUGUCUUUUUCUUAGUUAAUUUUGCAAUGUUUGUACUGGAGAGAAGAUUUUGUUAGAAAUUAAACAUUUGAGAAAGUUCGAUUAAUUAAAAUGAUUUUAGAAGAAUUAAUUAAUGCAACCAUUUCUUUUUUUUUUUCCGUUGGAACUUUGUUAUAUCAAUACGCUAUAAGCAUAUAUCGUUAUACUUUUUUGUCAAGGCCAUCUCUAUGUUACCCUACAGUCUAUGUACUAUCAAACGAUUUGAUUUUUUUAAUUUUUCCGACUUGUUAAUACUGUCGAAACUAUACCACUGAAAACCAUUGUUGAACUCUGUUAUUAUUAAAUUUUAAGAACCUAAUUCACCAAAUUCUCAAAUUCCUUAAAUAUUACGAUUACAAUAAUUAAUAUAACUUCUUCCGGCUUCAAAAAGUGGUACUUGGCAAUUUUCAAUCAUUAAGCCACGAUAUGAAAUUGGUUAAUAAACGUAGAAGAAAAAGUAUUAUGUCAAAGCAACGAUUUUAGGUUCGAUUGUGUAUGCGCUCAAGAACGAUAUGGUAAUCGAUUUUAUUCUAUACACAGAUGGAGAGCAGUGAAUAUUAAGGAUGGCAAAAUUCAGAUAGGAUCUGAAUAUAGGUGUAUCUAGAUUUAGAUCACACAUUGAUAUUUUGAGAUUUGGAUCCGCAUCUGGAUCGGCAAAAAGAAUAUGUGGAUCGGAUGGAGUUACAAUCUCGCGGAUUGCGAGCAAAUUUUGUCAUACUUAAUUCAAUAAUUUACCUAAUAAAAUCAAAUAAAAUCUAAUUGACACUUAGAAUGACAUUCAAUAACACUAUAAAUCUACAAAUAAAAUUACCACAACAUAAAUUAAACAUUAAGAGUAAUAUAAAUCUAAGUCUAACUCAACCAUAAAUCCAAAAAUAAAAACACCAUAAGUCCACAUAAAUUUCUUUUAAAACCAUCACAAAUAAGAACAUCACCACAAAUCUACAUAGAUUUGAUUUUUUUUUUAUUUAACUUACACAUCUUUUAAUUUUAUUUUAUUUUAAUAAAUCAUUUAAUGAAAAAAUAAUGUAGAUCCAAAUAUCUGAUUUUUCAAAUGCACUUACAUUCGAAUCUACAAGAAUUUUAAUUUUUGGCAUCCAAAACCACAUUUUUUAAUGCCCAAAUCUGAAUUUUUUGGAUCUUUCAAAUAUUUAUAGAUCCAGACCGAAUUUGGAUUUUUUUUUUGUCAUCCCCAAUCAAUAUGGUAGUUUCAACAAUUUUCAACCUUUACACAUCUUCCUAACUGCUUGGCUUUUAGUAAAGAUGGCAAUGGUUCGGGAUUUGACAAUCUCGGUCCCAUCCCGAAUAGUAAAACGAGAUUUUAAUGCGGACCGAAUCCCGUCCCGAAUAGUUAAACGAGAGAAAAAUAAUGAACUAAUCCUAGACAGCUCAAAAUCCCGUCCUGGACCAAAUGGCCCAACGUCCCAAAUGUCCCAUUUAAUAAAUACUAUAAAUUUCAUUAAAAUAUUAAAAAAAUAUUUAAUCCAGUGAUUCUAUAAAAUUGUUAACAUCUCAAUAGACAUUAUAAUCAUGGGAUGUGCAAUUAAACCAAAAAUAACAUCCAAAAGUAAAUUAACUAAUUGUAAAGCAUCCAAAAAUAAACCAACAUAUAAUAACCAACAAAAGCAUCCAACUUCUAAAAAAAAAAAAAAAAACAAAAACAAAAGCAUCCAAGAUUUUUGUCUACAUUCUUCAACUCCAAGUUCAUACUUUUGGAUCAACCUAUAAAAAUUAGAAUAUGUAAAGAAUAAAUUAGAAAAACAAAUAAUAUUAUACAUUGAUAAUUACAUGAUAUGCAUUUAAUAACGUUUAAAAACAUUAUUAGUUACGGAAAUGCUAGAUGAGGUGGUUGAAGUUAAGCAAAAAAUGGGGAUGAGCAACAUGCAGUUGUGUUUUAGUUUUAGAUUAAAAUACUUUUAGGUUUCCAUUUUAAUAUUUUUGUUUUAGAUUUAUUUAAUUAAACUAAAAAUAAUACAACAAACGGGCUUGUGAUUGGUACUUGGGCUUAGGAUAUAUUGUUUUAAUGCUAUUUGAAUCACGAUUUCUUAACUAUUAGUUUAAUUUUACUUAUUUUUAAUUUUAUUAAUAUAAUAUUUCUUUCAAAAAUUAAAUGGGACAAACGGGAUCCCGCGGGAUCCCGACUUAGAUCCCAAUCCUUUUCCACAAAGAAAAUUGAGAUUUUUUUUUUCAAUAUUAAAUCCCGCCCGCUUUUAAAAUUUGAUUCUAAAAUAUGGAUCAAUACAGUCCCAAUAGUUCGGGAUCCCAAAUUCCGAAUGUGAUUUGCGAUUUUUUGUCAUCCCUUGGAGUAGGUAUCUAGUUCAUUGCUUUAGGUAUUAGCAAUAGCACUAUGCUGUUCUUGUGCAUAAAUUACGGAUUGGUUGUAUUUAACAGUAAUUUAACGUUAAAUUGUGCAGACUGAGUGAUAUUUGGACAGCAACGUUAACAGUAAGUUAACGUUAAUUUCAAUAUUUGGAUCCUCUGCGAUUCUUUUCUAUUAUUUUGAGUGAUAUUUGGACAAUACUGAUUGCAGAAUCAUAAAUUUCGAAUUACAAUAAAGGAGGUAAAAUUGCGAUAAUACAAUAUUUAUUUCAUAAUUUAAUCUGCCCUCUCUUUCACUCUGGAAAGUUCCAGCUUCAGUUACAUCUCAUAUUCCGAAAGCCGACAGCGGAUCAAAAACGUCAAUAGAAAAGUUAUCCGUGUUAGUAUAUAACCAUGUGCAUAUUAAAAGUACUUGCCCACAAAGUCAGCAAAACCGUAUAGUCAUCACUCCACUCAGCAGCCAUUUGUCAUUCGUCAUUUGUCACCACCCAUUGAAUUAUUUUUUGAAACCAAAAAAAAAAAAAAAACCAGCAUCUCUCUGUCCAUAGGCCUGGGAUCCAAACCCACGAAUGGUUUCACUUUCCCGAAAAACAAACAGAACCCCGGUUUUUUUUUUUUUUUUAAGUAAUUCGACCUUUUUAACAGCUCUCUAUUAUUUUCCUAUAUAAGUACCCAAAUCCAACGAACAAACUGUCACUUAAAAGUCCAAGAACUCAACAACCUCUCUACUCUCUAUAAGUUGCCCAUCAAAUUUUCUUCCGGAACCCAACUUAAUAUUUUAUCGUUUAUAAUCAUUAAAAGAAGUAUUUGGGGGUGAGGAGAGUAUAGUAAGAGACAUGAGCAGCAACGGUGGCAGAGUUUGCAAGUUUGAUUCAGCAUUCAUCAAGUAUGUGCUGCAAGAAUCUUGUGGCUAUAAUAAGGGCAACAAUAAUUCUAUUGCAAGGAGUCUUGCUGGUGGCGUUAGUAAUAAUAAUAACAGUCAGGGUAUCAAGAGGUUUAAUGGAGAUGAGAUCAAGAAAAAAAGGAGGCAACAAGAGAAGGCUGAGAUGCUCUUCCACCUAAUUUGCUGGGGACCCAAUUAAUUUAUUAUUUGUAUUUCUUCUUUUUCUUCAUUAUUUAAAAAAAAAAAUCAUAUGGGAGAGAAAGAGAUGUAUUGGUUUAUCUUUAUUGUAGGAAUCUUGGUGCUUAUGGAAAUAAAUCAUAUGCUUUCAAUUUAUUGGAUUUUCAAUUUCAAAUGAUUUUUAUUUAAACAUAAAAAUUAGCUCGGAUAUUUAGGCAUUAAAAAAAAAGGUCAUUCACAUCCAAACAUCCUUCCAGAAUUUUCUAUUAGAAACAAUCUAGAAUUUCAACUCAAUUUAGGUAUACUAAAAAUUUGAUGUAAAAUAUAUAAUUUGAUGGAUAUUUUAGUAAUUUCAAUAAAUUUAUCAUAGAAGAUUAAAAAAAGAAAAUAAAUUAAAGCUUAGCAACGAGUAGAGUAAAAAGUCUUCGUUUUGUGAAUGAUAUUGUAAACGGUGGAUUUACUGCUUGUAAAAGUAUAGUUGUGGAUUAAAUGUUUAGAUUUCAGGAACCCGAAGGCAUGAUAAGAAAAUAGAAGAGUAAACGAAAAGAAUAAUGACAUUGUAAAAUUUCAUGUAUUAAAAUUAUCUAAAUUAAUUAAACAAUCAUCUUCCGAAUUGGGAGAUGGACCUGCCACAGUCAUUGUCCAGACAAAAGAAACUCGGUGUUGACAAAAAAAAUUUAGUAAAUCGAAUUUCAGGCAAAAUAUCAAUAUCAUUUUUCUAUUUAUAAUAAUGUAUAAUUAGAUAUAAUUACAUAUUAUUUCUUAUUCAAUAAUUACCUAAUAUAGGUCCUCUUUGUGAUUGAAAUGCGAUAAUUUUUAAAUUACAACUAUUUUGAAAAAAAAACUAUAAUUAUAAAAUAAAAAUUAAUAGUAUAUAAUAAAUAUAACUUUUAAAUAAUUUUUAAAAAGAUAAUAGAUUUUUUAUUAUAAAAGUAAAAAAUUAUAUUAAUAUAUCUUUCAAACUACUAGCGGCCAACUUUUAUUAAUCCCAAACAGAAUCAUAAUAUUAUUAAAAAAAUAAUUUUUUAGGAGUAACGAGACAUCUGUGUCUAGAUAUUGAUACAAAGUAUUUGAUCAACACAUUUGUAAGAGAAGACCUAGUAAUGCAAAUUUGUUGGCACUAUAAGAUUAAAAUAUGGAGUAAUGGUUUUUUUGCAAUGCUCAGUUCUAUUUUCUAGGAAGAUAUUUUUAUUGGCUGCACGUUGAUAGAAACUAGGAUGGUUAAUAGCUUGUAAUUGGAGGCAAAUCACGAACAAAAUUAAUUCCAAUAAACCAAGCAUUAAAGUAGUCAACGAAACCAAACAUAAAACAAAUGUCAUUCCAAAUUAAUCUAUUUAAAACAGGGACAAUGAUAUACCGAAAGUCUAAAGUAAUUGAAAUGAAAACUGAAUACCAAACCCAACGACUAAGACCAUUGUUCAAGCCACAUAAGUGGAUUAAAUGGAUGGAAGGGAUCUGUCUCAAAGAAUGGCUCAAUGCUUCCAUUCUCCAUGUUAUAAAUUCCAGUAUCUUUACCUCCUGCUUCAACGUAUUCCUCGGCGGCCAGGUACCAAUAAGAGUCGACAAAAUCAUCAGUGAAAUAAAUGCAAUUGGGUUUACACUCAGAAUUACUUGAUGCGUCAACAGACAGUGAAGAAUUAAAACCCAAAAAGAGGGAUCUGUUACCCAAAUUCUGGAUCUUCGACCAUUUAUUAGUACUUAGAUCGACCUCAAAAACCUGAAACCCCAACGUUCUGAAAGUGUUCUCCUCCGUUAGGUAGCCUAGAUGAGUAGGUGGUACUUGUACUCCCCUCCUUGAAACCACAAAUAAUGUGCCAUCUUCAGACUCAACCAUAUACAAAUACUCCACAACAUCUUCAAUAAAUUCGGCAGGUAAUUCCGCGAUUCUUGUAGCAGUACUGUCAUCAUCUUUGACGGCAAAUAUUUGACCAAAAGCAUUGAUAGCAUAAAAUUGAUUUUGGAAGUAAAUAGCAUCAACAAAAUGUUUAGCAUUAUUAGACGUGUUAAUUUUUCUCCAAACUUGACCGCCUGGCCUAGCGCAGCCCAAAUUCCCGUCUCUUCCGUAAAGAAGCAUGGCUUGUAAUGAAUCGGGGUUGGACGAAGAUAAUACGCAUUUGGUUAAUAUGAAAGUAAUAAAGCAACCCUCUUCACAAUGCCGAUUAUGCUCAUACGGAUCAGAAGCUACCAAGGUUUCGAUGGAAGGCAGUUUAAGUUGAAGGCGUGAAAAAGGAUGCACAAGAGUCAUAUAAUUGGGACUGAUGCAUGAAUCGAUAAAUUUAAUAAGCCAACCCCGUGAAGAAAAGUACCUACCGUUUUCAUACUUUUCAGGGUAAGGAUCUUCAGGUCAAUUUACUCGGAGGAGGCUGCUACUGCUGCCCUUCGAAAGAUCCAAGAAACUAAUGGAACCGUUUUUGGGUGGCAGCAUAAGCAGAGGAUUGCACUCGAUAUGUUUAUCUGAAACUGCAGCCGAUGCCGAUGCAGAUUUCCAGCGCCGCUUGGAGUUGGAGAAACGAAUUGAAUAUUUUUUCGGAGGAAGCGUACGCCAAGGAACUGUGGCCGAUCUGUCUAAAGUGCGAACCCCGGCAAAAGAAACAAAAUCCUGAAGCAAUUUUGCGGACGAGUAGGCCAUUGUUUUAGUAGGCUGUUCUUCUCUUCACGAUGGCAAAUUAGAGCAAAUCUCUGUGGCAUUUAUAUUUGAUUUAGUCUCACCCUCUCAUAAUUGGAGAAGGAAAGCGGUUUUCCUUUUGCAGUCGGACUAUGAAUCUCACGUAUUUCUAGAAACAUUCAACGGCCAAGAUCUCAGUCUUUGGAAUGGACGACUCUUUCGAUUGCCUUGAAAGACUUGCUUGGCUAUUUUUUAAGUCCUUUCAGUUUUCACGUGACUUGCCAGAAAGUGCAAAACUAUUUUUCAUUUUAUUUAUUUUUUUCUUUUCUAAACAAGCUUUUAAUUAUUUAUUUAAUUUUUAUUUCAAGGAAAAAAAAAACACUAAUCACUUACUAAAUUUGCCAUGCUAAGACCCCGAUUGUGGCCAAAAUUUAAUAAAAUGUUUAUUUCAUAAUUUUUGAUAAAAAUUAUAAAAUUUAUUUAUUUUAUAAUUUUUUUUAUUUUAAUAACAAUUUUUAAAAAUAAGUAGAGGAUUGUUUUUCAUAAACAACUUAUUCAAUAAGUCACUAUUCUUUUGAAAAUUUUCUGUUAUAACCUUAAUAUUUUAACAAAAAGAUAACUAUGUCCUAUUUUUUCAUAUACCUAAUGUAUAAGUCAUUAGAUAUCAUAUUACAAGCAUAAUCAAAUUACCCUUACAAUUUUAAAGUUUUGAUCCGGUAAAUUUAUAUUUUUCAUAUUUUACUUUUAUCUUCUAUUAUAAAAUUUAAUAAGACUUACAUAUGAUUACGUAAAUUUUCUUUAAACUAUGAACAAUUUUGCAUGGAAUUUAACCACAACUUUUAAAAUCAAUUUCAUAACUAUUGAUUUUUAACAUUCAAUCAUAUAUAUUUUUUCUACAUACAAAGUGUUUAUUGCAAUAAGUUAAAUAUGAAUGUAAUACAUAUUACUUUUUUAUUUUAUUUGGAUUAUGUCUUGAUAUGAAUUUUUAUCAUAUUUUAUGUAACAUAUUAUGAAGUUCCUUAAAUUUUAUAUAAUUGAUUUUUUUUUCACUUUAUGUAACUUUAUGUAUUUUAAAAAGAAAAAGAAAUGUCUAAAAAUUAUUAAAUAUACUCUAAAAAAUAAAAAUAAUUUAAAAUUACGUUUAUUUUGGUCAUUACCUAAUAAAAUAAUAUUUUAAAAAUUUGCUACCCGUACAUUACUCAAUAACAAUAUAAUUUACCAAACACUAAAUUAUUUUUUUAUUCAACAACUUAUUUUAUCUGCACAACAAAUGCAACUUAUUUGGUUAGCCGCUGCAAUCCCGAACCGGCACUAACUUGGGCUAAAAUGCAAAACGAAAGCUAUGAUCCGUUGAGACCCACGACUUACUUAGAAAGCAAUGUCCUCUUUCAUCGUUAGGAAUCUAACGUGGAGAAAGGAAGUGACUUCCUAAUCAAACUUGAGAUGUUCCAUUUAUUGCAUUCAGACUCGCAGUUGCCUACAGAUACCUGAUGUUUCAUGUGACUUCUCUUAAAAAUUAAGAUAGUUUAUUUAUUUGUCUAAAAGUUACGAUAAUUUUUUUUUCCUCGAAUUCAUGCUCGAACAAAGAAAUCAAAAGAUGAUCAAUGAAAAACAACAUAUACAACAAGUAAGUUAAGUAUAUUUUGAGGAUUUACGUACGUAUAAGGAUUUACAAAAACAUAAUAAAAAUAUUUUGUUAUAGAGAUUUAUAGUAAAUAUUAUGGUUCCAUCUAAUACCUAAUUAUUUAUUUAAAAUCUUUAUAAUAAAUACAAAAUAUUAUUAAAAUAAAUGUAAUAAUUUACACAUUUAAAUUGUUUUAGAUAUUAAAAACAUAUUAAUAUUAUUAGUUUACUAGAAAGAUUAUAUUAUUUAUAUUGAGUUUAUAUUUAUUAAGAAAAUUUAAAGUCUAUUUUUUAAUUACUCUAUCAAAAGAGUAUUAUAGUUAAAAGGAAGUCUUAACAUCAUUUUAAAAAAAAUUAGGGUUCUCUACGACCAUUUUUUCAAAUUUUGAGGGUAUAACUGUUCUUUUCUCGCAUUCAAUUUCUAUAAUAGAACUCCUAGUGACUAUUACUAGAGUAAUAGUAAUGGCUUUAACUUUUUGAACAAUUUGCGUGGAGAGCAAGAUAAGCUAACAUAUAAUAGAAGAAAAGCCUAAAGAUGGAUAUAGGGCUCAAGAUUCCGCUUUUGACACUUAUAGCAUAUUCUAAGUCUUUGUUUGGUAUUGAGGUGCUGUAAGUUAAAAAUUACAGUUACGGUAAAAAAAAUUAACUAUGAAAUAAAAGUUAUUAGUGUAUUGUGAAUAUCAUUUUUAAAUAAAUAUUUUGAUAAAAAUUGUAAGAAAUAUGAUAGAUUUUUUUUUUAUCAUACAACUGCUAAAUAAAAGAAUUUAACUUCUAAACCACAAUUAUAGGUAUUUACUAAAUGCUUUAAUUCUGUAAUUUUUAAGAUAUAGUUGUCCCACCACACUAUUGAAUAAUGCCUAAUUCAUUUGUUAAAAAUUGUAGCAACGUUGAAGGGAGUUGUUUUGAUGUUUGUGGUGGCAGUGUUUUGUGUCAUUGCUUUUGAGUGUUUCAGCAGAAGAAACGGCACCGUUGCCAGCGCCGUCCAUGGGUAAACAAAUAUACUAUUCAAUGGGAUUUCUUGGACUAUCAUUUCACUUCUUUUUUUUCUCUUGUCAGCUAUUGCUUUCUUGAAGCAUCAAAUUGUCCAUUGUUAUACAAAUUUUAUGGUACUGUUAAAUUUAGAAAAAAUACUUUAAGGUGGUGUUUAGUUGGGAGGAGAGUAUGGAGGAGAGGAAAAUAAUUUAAAUUCUCUUUUUAUUUUCAUUGUUUGGUUUGACAAAAUUUAUAAGAAUUUAAUUUCCAUUAGAAUUUAAUAUCCAUCGUAAUAUAGAAUUUGAAUUCCUCACCUAGUAAUGAAGAAUUUAAAUUUCUCUUAUGUUAGAAAUUAAAGUUUUUAAAAUUACUCUUCAACUUUUUAACUUGUUUAAUGCUAUUAAUAAUUAUUAUUUAUAAUUUUAUUUUAUGGAUUUAAUAUUAUAAAUGGACCUUCGCCGGAAAGUCACCGGAUGUAGCCGGACUUUCGCCAAAAAGUCAUUGGACCUCCAUUGGACAUCGCUGGACCUUCACCGCUGGCAACUGGACUGCCAUUUUAUUAUAUAUAUAUAUUAUUAAUAUAAAUAGUUUAAUUUUUAAAGUAAAUGAUAAAUUUGUUUAAAAAAAAUUAUAAUUAAUUUCCUUAUCAAAUUUUAUAUCAAACCAAACAAUAAAAUCUAAUUUCACUACUUUUCUCCAUUCUGUUCUUCUCUCUUUCGCUCCAUUCAACUCUUUUUUUCUCCUCCUGUUUCUUCAAACCAAACUUAGCCUAAAUUCCUCUACUGAAUUGUCCUUAGCCCAUAGAAAUUUUCUUUUUUUCUCCCCCCUCAAGAGAUAGCCCAUAGCAAAGUCGUUCCCGUAAUUGUAUAGAAAAGAACAACAUGGGCCUCAACUCACUCCAGCCGAAUAGACAAACUUAAGAACAAAUGCAAGGAAGCCCGAAACUGUUCAAUUAACCACCUUAGAGAAGAAACUUAUGAGACAAGCUAUAGGUGCCUUGUUGAUGAAGUAAAAUGCCAGGAGCUGGGAAUUUGAACACAAACUGAUCUCUGCAGACGUUGUACAUACAGUACAAAGUACAGUCAAGGCUGAUUUAACGGUUACAUCUGGGGCUACACAAUCAUACCAUUAGAGAUCUAAUCUCAAUUAGUUGGAGAGCACAACAAUAAUGGUGAAAAUUCAUACUCUGUAAAGAAUUCAUCAAUAAAAUGAACAUCUCCAUACAUAGAUCUAUUAUUAUCUCUACUAAAAUAACUUUAACUAAUUGAGUUAAGAAAUAAAUCCAAGUCUACUCAGCCAUGGCUCUGGCUACUGAUAAUUUACUUUAUAAAAUCAUAUGCAUUAAGGAAAUCAAAAGCCCUUUUCUAGUUACUUUCAGAUAAUUCACUUUAUCAAUUCAUAUGCAUUUGAGGAAAUGAAAGCCCUUUUAUUUUUAGGCGACCAUUAAAAGUUCAGCUAAAAAAGAUGAGCUUUGUAUGUGAUCUUAUGUAUGUAUGUUGAAUGAAUCAUGACGUUAUGUCAUUGUAAUGAUGUUAUACUUCUUUAAUGAAAAACAUGCUCUCUUUUGAAAAAAUACUAUUAAAUAUUUAUGAAUCUAAUUUAUCUUUUCGCAUACCUCUUAAAAACAACUAUCCUUAAACAAAAUCAAAUCCACAUUUCUCUACUUUAACCUCUCCUUUAUGCUUUCACAAAUGACGUAACACACAAUAUGACAUAUCUUCAUGGUGGCAUGAAAUCUUUUUUAUUUUUACUUUUUAUUUUUAUUAUGUUGGUUCUUUUUCUUUUUGGUGGUACUGCGAAUGCAAAAACUAAGAGAUCAUCAGCAAUAACUAAGAGACCAUCAACUACAACAAAUCAUUUCACCAAAAAAAAAAAAAAAGAUCUCAAAUCCAAAGGUCUGAAACGUAUUAUUUGAUUGACAAAAUUUGAAUUAGACUUUUUAAAUUUAAAACUAGCUAUUGAUGUAAUUAUUUUUAUUACUAUUCUUUUAUUCAUAGGUGAUAUAUAUAUUGUGAAUUGUGAUAAUUGAAAUAUAAAGGUGAAUGAAAGAGCAUCUAUGUACUUUUAAUUAUUUUUUUAUUUUUUAAAAAAUAAUUCACUAUUAAAAAAAAAACAAAGAUUAUUAGGGUAUAAUGUUGUAAAGUAAAAUGUGGGUACUAACUGAAUAACUACAUUCUUCUAUUUUGACUGAUUUUCGGACUAUAUUAAAAAUAGAAUCAUAAAUUUUUCCAUCAUAUAAUUAAAACAAUGAGGGAAAUUGCAACAAUAUUUCGUAAUUUAAUAUUGGUGGCAAAUUGGUAAUUGAAGUUGGUGGCGUUAAUAACAAUAAAAAUAAUGAGGCUAUCAAGAGGGUUAAUGGAGAUGAGAUCAAUAAUAUUAAAACAAAUGAGGGAUAUUUGCUAGGCUCCCAAUUAAUUAGUUAUUUUUCAUUUCAUUUUUUCAUUAUUAAAAAAAGAUUUGUUCUUUAAUGUAUGUAAUUACAAUCAAUUAAAAAUUGUAAGUAGAACUUUUAUAUUUGAAAAGUAUUUAAUUAUCAGGCUUAAAUAAAUUAAACAAUUAAAAUUUAUUCAUCAUUUUAAAAUUUAAAAAUAUUAUUAGUCAAAAUUUUAAAUAAUAAACUAAAUUCAACCCAACAAAAAAGUAUUUAGGUGCCGUUAUUUGUUUGCCAGAGGCACUUUGACUCUCUUUGAAAAACUAGAUGUUGAUGAUUCUUCUAUUAAAAAAACUAUUCAAAAUACUCAAAUUUUAUUUUCUAACUUGUCCUCUUAGUUAACGUAUCUAAUAAUAAAAUAUCAAAAUUUACAUAAAAAAUUUAUGAAAAUGUUGAUAAUUGUUACUAUAUGUUUUUUUCAAGUUAUUUUGAUACUAGUAACGAUGCUAUAUUAUAUUAACAUACUUUCUUUUCAAUUAGAAUUUUUUAAAAAUAGAUUAAAGCAGUAAUAACCUUUUAGACCCCUAGCGUUUUCAAUCCAUUCAAUAAAUAUAUAAUUUAAUCAUUUUAUAAAAUGAGUCACCAAUUUCAAUUGGAAAAAUAAUAUAAUUGAGUUAGGGACAUAUUUGAAAAUAAAAUAAAAGUUCUAUUGUUAUAUGAAAUUGAUAAAACAGAAGGGUAACUAAGUUAGGGAUAUUUUCUCAAAAAAAAAAAGUUAGGGACAUAUAUGAAAAUAAAAUAGAAAUUCUAUUUCUUUCCAUAAAUAAAAUUAAUCAAAAUUAUAUUAUUUAAAUAAUUUUUUCUGGACUAGCGUCCAGGUGUAGGUCCGCCACUGAGCUGCACUAUGCUGUUCUCGUGCAUAAACUACGGAUUGUAUUUAAUAGUAAGUUAACGUAAAUUGUGGAGAUUGAAUACUUUCAAUAUUUGAAUCCUCUGCGAUUCUUCUCCAUUAUUUUGAGUGAUAUUUGGACAAUACUGAUUGCAGAAUCUGCUGUACCGUACAUCCGCCUUGGCCGUACAGCAGUAUUAUUUUCCUAUAUAAGUACCCAAAUCCAACGAACAAACUGUCACUUAAAAGUCCAAGAACUCAACAACCUCUCUACUCUCUAUAAGUUGCCCAUCAAAUUUUCUUCCGGAACCCAACUUAAUAUUUUAUCGUUUAUAAUCAUUAAAAGAAGUAUUUGGGGGUGAGGAGAGUAUAGUAAGAGACAUGAGCAGCAACGGUGGCAGAGUUUGCAAGUUUGAUUCAGCAUUCAUCAAGUAUGUGCUGCAAGAAUCUUGUGGCUAUAAUAAGGGCAACAAUAAUUCUAUUGCAAGGAGUCUUGCUGGUGGCGUUAGUUAUUUCUCUAUAUAAGUACUCCAAUCCAACGAACAAAGUGUCACUUAAAAGUCCAAGAACUCAACAACCUCUCUACUCUAUAAGUUGCCGAUCAAUUUUCCUUCCAGCACCCAACUGAAUAUUUUAUCGUUUAUAAUCAUUAAAACAAGUAUUUGGGGUGAGGACAGUGUAGUAAGAGACAUGAGCAGCUACGGUGGCAGAGUUUGCAAGUUUGAUUCAGCAUUCACCAAGUAUGUGCUGCAAGAAUCUUGUGGCUAUAAUAAGGGCAACAAUAAUUCUAUUGUAACGAGUCUUGCUGGUGGCGUUAAUAAUAUUAAUAACAACAAUCAGGGUAUCAAGAGGGUUAAUGGAGACCAGAUCAAGAAAAAGAGGAGGCAACAAGAGAAGGCUGAGAUGCUCUUCCACCUAAUUUGCUGGGGACCCAAUUAAUUUAUUAUUUGUAUUUCUUCUUUUUCUUCAUUAUUUUUAAAAACAAAUCAUAUGGGAGAGAAAGAGAUGUAUUGGUUUAUCUUUAUUGUAGGAAUCUUGGUGCUUAUGGAAAUAAAUCAUAUGCUUUCAAUUUAUUGGCUUUCAAUUUCAAAUAAUUUUUAUUUGAACAUAAAAAUUAGCUCAGAUAUUUAGGCAUAAACAUCCUUCCAGAAUUUUCUAUCAGAAAUAAUUUAGAAUUUCAACUCAAUUUAGAUAUAUUAAAAUGUUGAUGUAUAAUACAUAAUUUGAUGGGUAUUUUAGUAAUUUGAAUAAAUUUAUCAUAGAAGAUUAAGAAAAUAAAAUAAAAUCAAACAGUGGAUUUACUAUGCGUAAAAGUAUAAGACACAUGUACUAUUCAUAUAAGGGGAGUGUAUCUUACAUGCAUGUAAGAUAGAGAUUGCCAAAAUAUAAUUGUGGGUUAUAUGUUUAGAUUUCUACAACCCCGAAGGCAUGAUAAGAAAAUAAAAUAGUAAACGAUAAGAACAAUGAAAUUGUAAAAUUUCAUGUAUUAAAAUUAUCUAAAUUAAUUAAACAAUCAUCCUCCGAAUUGGGAGAUGGUCAUGGCACAGUCAUUGUCCAGACAAAAGAAACUCGGUAAAGCGAAUUUCAGGCAAAAUAUCAAUAUUAUUUUUCUAUUUAUAAUAAUUUAUAAUUAGAUAUAACUACAUAUUAUUUCUUAUUUAAUAAUUACCCAAUAAAAGUCUUCUUUAGAAUUGAGAUGCGAUAACCUUUAAGUUACAAUUACUGUGGGAAAAAUAUCUAUAAUUAUAAAAUAAUAAUUUUGAUAAAAUUAUUAAAGGUAUAAUAAAUUUUUCAUUAUAGAAGUGAAAAGUUAUAUUAAUAUACCUUUCAAACUAUUAGCACCCAACUUUUACUAAUCCCAAAUAGAACCAUAAUAUUGUUAAAAAAUAAUUUUUUAGGAGUAAUGAGACAUCUAUGUCUCUUAACAUCAUUUAAAAAAAAAAAUUAGGGUUUUCUAAGACCAUUUUUCAAAUUUUAAGGGUAUAACUGUUCUUUUCUCACAUUCAAAUUCUAUAAUCGAACUCCUAGUGACCAUUACGAGAGUAAUAGUAAUGGCUUUAACUUUUUGAACAAUUUGCGUGGAGAGCAAGAUAAGCUAACAUAUAAUAGAAGAAAAGCCUAAAGAUGGAUAUAGGGCUAAAUAUUCCGCUUUUGACACUAAAAGCGUAUUCUAAGUCUUUAUUUGGUAUUGAGGUGCUGUAAGUUAAAAAUUACAGUUACGGUAAAAAAAGCUGUAACUAUGAAAUAAAAGUUAUUAGUGUAUUGUGAAUAUCAUUUUUAAAUAAAUAUUUUGAUAAAAAUUGUAAGAAAUAUGAUAGAUAUUUUUUUUUUAUCAUACAAGUGCUAAAUAAAAGAAUUGAACUUCUAAACCACAGUUAUAGGUAUUUACUAAAUGCUUUAAUUAUGUAAUUUUUAAGAUAUAGUUGUCCAACCACACUAUUGAACAAUGCCUAAUUUUUACUAAAUGCCUAAUUUUUAUAUCAAACCAAACAACAAAAUCUAAUUUCACUACUUUUUUCCAUUCCGUUUUUCUCCUCUAUUUUUUUCAAACCAAACAUAGCCUAAAUUCCUCUACUGAAUUGUCCUUAGCCCAUAGAAAUUUUCUUUUUUUCUCCCCCCUCAAGAGAUAGCCCAUAGCAAAGUCGUUUGCAUAAUUGUAUAGAAAAGAACAACAUGGGCCUCAACUCACUCCAGCGGAAUAGACAAACUUAAGAACAAAUGCAAGGAAGCCCGAAACUGUUCAAUUAACCACCUUAGAGAAGAAACUUAUGAGACAAGCUAUAGGUGCCUUGUUGAUGAAGUAAAAUGCCAGGAGCUGGGAAUUUGAACACAAACUGAUCUCUGCAGACGUUGUACAUACAGUACAAAGUACAGUCAAGGCUGAUUUAACGGUUACAUCUGGGGCUACACAAUCAUACCAUUAGAGAUCUACUCUCAAUUAGUUGGAGAGCACAACAAUAAUGGUGAAAAUUCAUACUCUGUAAAGAAUUCAUCAAUAAAAUGAACAUCUCCAUACAUAGAUCUAUUAUUAUCUCUACUAAAAUAACUUUAACUAAUUGAGUUAAGAAAUAAAUCCAAGUCUACUCAGCCAUGGCUCUGGCUACUGAUAAUUUACUUUAUAAAAUCAUAUGCAUUAAGGAAAUCAAAAGCCCUUUUCUAGUUACUUUCAGAUAAUUCACUUUAUCAAUUCAUAUGCAUUGAGGAAAUCAAAGCCCUUUUAUUUUUAGGCGACCAUUAAAAGCUCAGCUAAAAAAGAUGAGCUUUGUAUGUGAUCUUAUGUAUGUAUGUUGAAUGAAUCAUGACGUUAUGUCAUUGUAAUGCUGUUAUACUUCUUUAAUGAAAAACAUGCUCUAUUUUAAAAAAAUACUAUUAAAUAUUUAUGAAUCUAAUUUAUCUUUUCGCAUACCUCUUAAAAACAACUAUCCUUAAACAAAAUCAAAUCCACAUUUCUCUACUUUAACCUCUCCUUUAUGCUUUCACAAAUGACGUAACACACAAUAUGACAUAUAUUCAUGGUGGCGUGAAAUCUUUUUAUUUUUACUUUUUAUUUUUAUUAUGUUGGUUCUUUUUCUUUUUGCUGGUACUGCGAAUGCAAAAACUAAGAGAUCAUCCGCAAUAACUAAGAGACCAUCAACUACAACAAAUCAUUUCACCAAAAAAAAAAAAAAAGAUCUCAAAUCCAAAGGUCUGAAACGUAUUAUUUGAUUGACAAAAUUUGAAAUAGACUUUUUAAAUUUAAAACUAGCUAUUGAUGUAAUUAUUUUUAUUACUAUUCUUUUAUGGCUGAAACUACAAUGCGUCGUGGGUUUGGUGCCACAGUCGUUUGUCAGUUAGCAAAGUGAGCGUUGGAUUUAAUCCCACGGCUGCAGAAGAGAGGCAGACAUAAAGGGCAGUUACCUCAGGAAAAGGUAAGAGCCGGUCAGCUGGAGAAAAGAUGGGUUUAAUAAGAAAUAGCAUCCAUGUGUAAUGAACAUGUAGUUUUUUAGGAAGGCUGUUGUAACCAAAGAUUAUAGUGGUUCGGCAAAUUUCUUUGCCUACAUCCACUGUGGAAAACAAAGCAAACUCUUUACUGAUUUCAGAGAACAAGUUACAAAUCUGGAGAAUACAUGUAAAUGAAUCGAUACCCUAAACAACAGAUCAUAUGCCCUUUUAUACUCCACUCGGAUCAAUCAGAAAGAACCUGAAGAAGCCAGUUCACGCUCAUGGGUUUCCAGCCAAACAGACCUCCAGCUGCUUCCCGCGUGAUCUAACGGAAAAAACCACUUCUGGAAUUUGCUUAGGGACACUUGUCAAACGUUCAUGUAAUCUGUUGAUUAAAACGCAGAGUUGGCUUGCCGUUUGAGUUAGUGAAACAUGUGACGCAUCACGUGCAUUACUAAUGAAUCCAGCCGACAUAUCGUUUGUAUCAACCAGCUGCUCUGAACUCAAAUGCUUGACAUGUCGUUUAUCCUCGCUGACAAACAGACGACGUGUCAUACACAUCCCUGAGAUCAGAUUUGAGCUUCAUAAUUCCAACACUCUCCACCUUGAACUCAAAUCAGUUACCCUUUUGCUUAUGCUUUCCACUGUAUCCCUGCAGUUUUAUAGCCUGUAGAUCCCAGCUGAGUUCAUGCAGAACUCCAGCUUGGCUGCUGGUACAGCCUUUGUCAACAUAUCAGCAAGGUUAUCAUCAGUAUGAAUCUUUAACAGCUUCACCACACCUUUAGACACCUCCAGCCUGACAAAGUGCAGUUUGAUGUCAAUAUGCUUUGUCUUUUCGUGAUGCACCUGGUUCUUGCUUAGACAAAUUGCACUUUGACUGUCACAAUGAACAGCCACCUGUCUUUGUUCAAAUCCUAAUUCCGUAACCAUUCCUUUGAGCCAUAUUGCCUUCUUAAAGGCUUCUGCAGUUGCAGUGUACUCUGAUUCUGUUGUUGACAAAGCAGCAACACUUUGCAGUGAAGCUUUCCAGUUUAUGGUGCAGCCACUGAGUGUGAACAAAUAGCCUGUUAGAGAUCUCCUUUUAUCUAGAUCCCCUGCAUAGUCAGCAUCCACAUACCCUUCAACAUCAACUUCUGUACCUCCUUUUAAACCAUAGAUGAGGCUAUAAUCUGCAGUCCCACUGAGAUAUCUUAAGAUCCAUUUUACAGCUCUCCAGUGCUCCUUUCCAGGAUUACCCAUAUACCUGGAAACUACACUUACUGCAUGAGAGAUAUCUGGCCUUGUUAGGACCAUGGCAUACAUUAAGCAUCCCACAGCACUUGAGUAUGGAGUUGUGCUCAUCUCAGCUUUUUCAUCUUCAGUUCUUGGACACUGAUUACAUGACAACCUGAAAUGAGCUGACAGUGGAGUUUGAACUGGUUUUGAGUUCACCAUUUCAAAUCUCUCAAGUACUUUCUUUAUAUAGCAGUGCUGUGAUAGCUUUAGUAUUCCCUUCUUACUAUCUCUUAGCAAUUCUACUCCAAGGAUCUUCUUGGCUGCUCCAAGAUCCUUAAUCUCAAAUGCAUUCUUUAACUGCUUCUUCAGCACAUCUAUAUGAUCCAUAUGUUUACAUGCUAUAAGCAUGUCAUCAACAUAUAGCAAUAGAUAGAUCUUAUCUCCAUCUAUCAAGUUUUUGUGGUACACACAGCAAUCAUAAGAGCACCUUUGAAAGCUGUUCUCAGCCAUAAAUUUAUCAAAUCUCAAGUACCAUUGUCUCGGGGAUUGCUUUAAUCCAUAUAGAGACUUUCUCAAAUGACACACAUAAUCAGCCUUAUCUGAAUCCUCAUAACCUCUUGGUUGUGCCAUUACAAUCAUUUCUUCCAAUUCACCAUGAAGGAAUGCAGUCUUGACAUCCAUAUGUUCCAGGUGCAUGUCAUUUACUGCAACAAGUGCUGCUGUACCGUACAUCCGCCUUGGCCGUACAGCAGUCUAAAGAGGGUGUUGAUUAAAUUAAAAAAAAAACCCUUAACAUAACAAAUCUUAAAUAUUUAGUGUUUAAAGAGCUUGAAGAAGCCAAAAAGCACUAAACAAAAGGUUGCAUAAUUAAAUAUGAGAUUAUGGUAUUAAAAUUAGGCUCUAGUAGCAUUGUUGAGGGAAGAUGAAAGAAUCUCUCUUCCUAUGUUAAUUCUGGUAUGCAUUCUUUUAUCUUAUAGAUCCACUUGCAGCCAACUAUUUUCUUCUUUGCUGGUUUUGGAAUCAGAUCCCAUGUGUGGUUCUUGAUCAAUGAUCUCAUUUCUUCAUCCAUAGCUGCAACCCACUUCUUUGAGUCCUUACUACUGACAGCCUCAGUGUAAGUCUUUGGUUCAUCUUCUUCUAUUCCUUGUGCUGCUGAUAGUGCAAAUGCAAUCAAGUCUGCAUAUGCAUACCUCUUAGGUGGCUUUGACUCUCUUUUCUUUCUAUCUCUCACCAGCUGAUAAUUUCUGAGGUUAUCAUCACCUUCUGAUUCACCUUCUUGUUCAGACAAAUCUAUUCCAGGUGCAUUCUCAGGCCCUGACUUUUUAUCAGCUUCUGUGCUGGAGCUUGGAAGCUCCACCUCAAGAAAAUUCUUCUUGUCACAACCUGACUCUCUCUCAAUGGUUUGAUUCUCAGUAGCUGAGUUUUGAAACAUUUCAUGUUCAUUAAACACCACAUCCCUGCUGAUUAUUGCCCUUGGUGGCUUCAUAUCUGUACACCACAGCUUGUAGCCCUUCACACCAGCAGGAUAUCCUAAGAACACACAUUUGAAGGCCCUGGGCUCUAGCUUCCCUUGUUUGACAUGAGCAUAGGCUGAGCAGCCAAAUAUUCUCAAAUGAGAAUAGUCUGCUGGUUUGCCAGACCAGAGCUCAUAUGGAGUUCUGAAAUUGAUUCCAGAAGAGGAACUCCUGUUUACUAUGUAGCAAGCAAUCUCUAAAGCUUCAGCCCACAGGCUCAUGGGUAGCUUAGAGUGGAUCAGCAUACACCUAACUUUGUCUAUUAGAGUUCUAUUCAUUCUUUCAGCUAAUCCAUUUUGCUAUGGUGUUUGUCUUACUGUUUUGUGUCUAACCAUACCAUGUUUUGUACAUAAAUCAUCAAAGUCCUUAUUACAGAACUCUAACCCAUUAUCUGUCCUCAGCCUUUUUACCUUCCUAUUUUUCUGUGUUUCAACUAAUGUUUUCCAGUUCUUAAACUGUUCAAACACUUUAUCUUUGCUCUUCAAACUAAAUACCCAAACCAUUCUUAAGAGAUCAUCAAUAAGAGAUAAGAAAUACCUAGCCCCACCUAGAGAAGCUGUCUGUGCAGGCCCCCACAGAUCAGCAUGAAUGUAGUCUAGAGUCCCCUUUGAAUUAUGGAUACCAGUACUGAAUUUCACUCUUGAAGAUUUUCCUAGGACACAAUCUUCACAGAACUUCAAAGGCUCUAUCUUAUCUACUCCUAAGACUCCCUGUUUUGAUAGCUCAAUUAAGCCCAUUUCACUCAUGUGGCCUAACCUCAUAUGCCACAGCAUGGUUUUGUUUAGUUUCUGGUUUGACACAGCAACAUCCCCUGUGACAGCUGAUCCCUGUAACACAUACAGACCAUUGCUCAUAUUCCCUUUCAUCACAACCAUUGACCAUUUCAAGACCUUUAAAGUGCCUGACUCAAGUUUGACUAGACAUCCUGUUUUAUCUAGCAUGCCUAGGGAGAUAAGAUUUCUUUUGAGAUCAGGCACAUGUCUGACAUCCCUUAGUUUGUUUAGUUUCUGGUUUGACACAGCAACAUCCCCUGUGACAGCUGAUCCCUGUAACACAUACAGACCAUUGCUCAUAUUCCCUUUCAUCACAACCAUUGACCAUUUCAAGACCUUUAAAGUGCCUGACUCAAGUUUGACUAGGCAUCCUGUUUUAUCUAGCAUGCCUAGGGAGAUAAGAUUUCUUUUGAGAUCAGGCACAUGUCUGACAUCCCUUAGUUUCCUAAUCAUGCCAUCGAACACUCUUAACCUAAUAGAACCUCUGCCAACCACUCUGCAGCUUGAAUCAUUACCCAUUACAACUAUCCCACCAUCACAAGUCUCAUAGUUUGUGAAUAAAAUUUUAUUAGGGCACAUGUGGAAGGAACAACCAGAAUCUAAAACCCAAUUACCUUUUGUUUGAGCAUCAGUUGCUAUUAGAACUCCAGCUGAGUCAUAGCCAUCAGAUUCUUCAAAUUCUGAUGCAACAGCAGCAUCUAUAUUCUUCUCAUUUGCAUUAUUUUUCUUGUUUUUAAAUUCAGGGCAAUCUUUCUUGAAAUGGCCCUCCUUAUGACAGUGAAAGCAUUUCAAGUUCUUUUGCCUGGAUUUUGAUCUCUUCUUCUUGUUCUUACUUAUCUCUCUCUUUUCAGUUCUUCCUCUUGCUGUCAGACCUUCUCCAUCCCUGGUUUCUUUCUUGAUUGCUGCCUUGGAACUCAGAGUUUCCUUUACAUCUCCCAUAGCGAGAGUCUGUCUCCCAUACAUUAAUGUAUCCACUAGAUUCUCAUAGGAACUCGGCAGAGAGCAGAGCAGGAUCAUGGCUUUGUCUUCAUCAUCAAUCUUCACAUUUAUGUCUUCAAGAUCCAAGAUGAUCUUGUUGAAGGCAUCAAUGUGAUCAGUAAUUGAUGAUCCUUCUUCCAUCUGCAAGGUAUAAAGNNNNNNNNNNNNNNNNNNNNNNNNNNNNNNNNNNNNNNNNNNNNNNNNNNNNNNNNNNNNNNNNNNNNNNNNNNNNNNNNNNNNNNNNNNNNNNNNNNNNNNNNNNNNNNNNNNNNNNNNNNNNNNNNNNNNNNNNNNNNNNNNNNNNNNNNNNNNNNNNNNNNNNNNNNNNNNNNNNNNNNNNNNNNNNNNNNNNNNNNNNNNNNNNNNNNNNNNNNNNNNNNNNNNNNNNNNNNNNNNNNNNNNNNNNNNNNNNNNNNNNNNNNNNNNNNNNNNNNNNNNNNNNNNNNNNNNNNAAAAAGCCAAAUCAAAGAAAAUUUAAUCCUGCUGUACCGUACAUCCGCCUUGGCCGUACAGCAGAAUUUGUUGUAACCAAAUUAAUCACCAAGACCAACUUGGAACCCCCAAGACCCACUCUAUGAACCUUGAUCUUGUACUGGAAAUAAUCAAUCAACUAAGAUUUCCCAAGAAAUAUGAAUAAGUACUUGAAACCAUCCACACAAUCAAAGAAAAUCAGAUCACACACUUGAACCAAAGAUUAUAGUGGUUCGGCAAAUUUCUUUGCCUACAUCCACUGUGGAAAACAAAGCAAACUCUUUACUGAUUUCAGAGAACAAGUUACAAAUCUGGAGAAUACAUGUAAAUGAAUCGAUACCCUAAACAACAGAUCAUAUGCCCUUUUAUACUCCACUCGGAUCAAUCAGAAAGAACCUGAAGAAGCCAGUUCACGCUCAUAAGACACAUGUAAUGAACGGCAGCAAACAGCAAAAUACAGAAACAACAAAAAGUAUAUGCACGUAAUGGUUGGAAACAACUUGGUGGAGGCAUGCAAGUAUUUGUUAUACUAAGACAGAGAGGAAAAAUCUGAUGCAGCAUCCAGAAUUUUUGCAAAUAGUGAAUUGAAAUCGUCAACAAAUGGUGGAAAAAGAACAGUAAAUUUUUAUUUUAUUAUUAACAACACAUAAUUUAUCCUUAAUUUAAAUAAAAGGAUAAAUUAUUAAUUGUACAUAAUAUCCUAAUAUUUGGAAAAAAAUUGUUAACAAUUCAUAAUUUGAAGAAGUAUGCAUAUUAUACCAUAAGAAAAAAAUGUUGGAGUUUGGACGAUGAUAUCUAAAAAAAUGAAGGUUGAAUUUUGGAGGAGGUGACGAAGAGAUGGAACAACAUUAUUUAUUGUUUAUUUAGUCAUGGAAUAACAACAUUGCUUGACAUAGAUGAUGUCGUAGUGUAAUAAAAGGGACGACAUGUCAAUAUUUAUCGGACGACAUGACAUUAUUGACCAGGUAAAUGGGAUGACAAGUAUAUUUUUUUAUUAAAGCUUCUUCUAUCUUAGAAGAGUAGAUUAUUGUAAUGAUGUCAACACUUGGAAACGCCAGCUAACCGAUUAGUGGAUAGCAGACACAUAUUGUAAACUUAGGGUAUACAAGUGAUACAUGCAAAAAAUAAUGUAGUGUACGUGAUAUAAGUGUCAUUUAAGGGUAGAUGAGUGAAACAUUUUGAUUGUGAUAUAAGUUGCAAAAAGUUAACACAGUAAGUGCGAAAUAAAAAGAAAAAAAAUUAAGUAAUUUCAAAACGUCCCCAUGUCUUCAAAAACUGUCUUAUUUUGAAUGUUAAUUUAUUUAUUAAAAAAAUAAGAGUCUUUUAGGCACAUAAAUUAUAAUAAAUUAUUGAACAAAGAAUAAUGAAAAAAAAAGUAAAAUGUAAUUAUAAUGCAGUGUUAGGGGUUGGUUAAUGAAGUUAAAGAUGGUGGAAAAGGGUUAUAUAGAAGUAAAAUGUAAUUAUAAUGCAGUGUUUGGUAUGAAUAAGUAAAUGAAUAAUAAUGCAAAUUGGGUAUACGAACUUAUAAUGUGAUAAUAAUGGUAUGUCCGUAAAAAGACCCGUAGGGCAAGAUUAAAGGCUAAAUUGUGCAGUUAUGUUAAUAAUUUUAUUUUGUAAUAAAAUAGGAGGGGCUGCAAUGUUAGUAGGCAAAAAUCAAGUACAAGUUGCGGUUGUAAUAGGUUUUGUAAGUCUUGUGUUGAAUCUAAUGGUUGGAUAAAAAAGAGAAAAUAAUGGCGUAUGAAAUCAGAAUUGCAUGGUAAGUAUACCUCGGUUGUAGUUGGAAAACAUUUCCAUCGGAAGAGAAAAAUUGAAAAUGAGUUAUGCUGUAAAAUGUUAAUGUGCUGAAGAGUGUGCACAUGUGUAAAGCCCAAGAAUCGGUGUUUUGUUGAGGGUCCAACCUUUCCCCUGGGCAAUGCAACAACGUUGGAAUGUGUUGAAAAUUGUGGUCUUUUAACGAAAAAUGUAAUAAAAAUUUGUUCUUAUUUUUUGUUAGAGCCAGGGCGGGUUUGUUGAAAGAUGAGUUUUGACUUGAUUCGCCAGUAAAAUGAAAAAAUAUAUUUAAAAUUUGGCUUCUAUUUUUUAAAAAAUUAAAAAAAAAGUCGUCAUAUCCGCAGUAAAAUAUACUCCACCCGGCAAUAUAUUGAAAUUUAAAUUCUCACCCCAAGAAUUUUAAAUACAAAUUGAAAGAGUUGGGCUGUUGAAAGUAAAAAGAAGCACGUAAAAAAAAAUAUGAAUUAAAAUAUUGAAAUAAGACAUAAGUUCAUUAAUUUGUACAUUAAGCAAACAUAUACCAAUUCCAAACGGCAGUCGAACGUUAUUAUUAUUAUUUCUUGCUGGUGGCGUUAAUAAUAAUAAUAAUAACAAUCAGGGUAUCAAGAGGGUUAAUGGAGACCAGAUCAAGAAAAAGAGGAGGCAACAAGAGAAGGCUGAGAUGCUCUUCCACCUAAUUUGCUGGGGACCCAAUUAAUUAAUUAUUUUUAUUUCUUCUUUUUCUUCAUUAUUUAAAAAAUUAAAAAAUUAAAAAAAAGUCUUAUGGGAGAGAAAGAAAUGUAUUGGUUUAUCUUUAUUCUAGGAAUCUUGGUGCUUAAUGGAAAUAAAUCAUAUGCUUUCAAUUUAUUGGCUUUCAAUUUCAAAUAAUUUUUAUUUGAACAUAAAAAUUAGCUCAGAUAUUUAGGCAUAAACAUCCUUCCAGAAUUUUCUAUCAGAAAUAAUUUAGAAUUUCAACUCAAUUUAGAUAUAUUAAAAUGUUGAUGUAUAAUACAUAAUUUGAUGGGUAUUUUAGUAAUUUGAAUAAAUUUAUCAUAGAAGAUUAAGAAAAUAAAAUAAAAUAAACCUUAGCAAUGAGUAAGGUAAAAAGUUUUGGUUUUGAGUAUGUAAUUGUAAACAGUAGAUUUACCACACGUAAAUGUGUAAUUGUGAAUCACAUGUUCAUGUUUCAGUGAACCCUAAAGAGUAACCGAUGAGAACACUGAUAUUUAGCCCGGAAUUUCAUCUAUUAAAAUUUUUUAAAUCAAUAUUUUUGUUAAAAUUAAACAAUCAUUGUCCGGAUGGGGGAUGGUCAUCUUUCAGCCAUUGUUUAAACAAAAGAAAUUCGGUAAAUCGAAUUUCUGCCAAAUAUAAUUUUUCUAUUUAUACUAAUGUUUAAUUAGAUAUAGCUGCAUAUUAUUUCUUAUUCAAUAAUUGCUCAAUAUUAAAAAAAAAUCCCAUUUUCAUCGAGUAAUCAGACAUCUAUGUCUCUUAGAUAUGCUUAUCAAGCAUUUGAUCAACCAAUUUAUAUGAGGAGACCUAGCAAUAUAAUGCAAAUUUGUUGGCACGAGAAGAUUAAAAUCUAGAUAACAUAUGGUAAAUACAGUAUGUUGGUUCCAAUAUGCUAUUUGUGGUAAUCGUCUUUUCAAUGCUCAGUGCUAUUUUUUAGGGAGAUAUUUUUAUUGGCUGCACAUUAAUAGAAACAAGAAUAUAUAAUCAAUUGGAUUACCUUGUAAUUGAAGGCAAAUAACAAACAAAAGUAAUUCCAAUAAAUCAAAGCAUUAAGUUGUCAAUGAAGACUAAAACAUAAACAAUGUUACUCCAAUGAAGACUAAAACUUGCUGGUGAAAAUUUGAAGUAAUUGAAUUGAAAACUAAUUAAAUACCAAACCCAACGAUUACGAACAUUGUUCAACUCACAUAAGUGGAUUAAAAGCAUGGAAGGGAUUACUCUUUAAAGAACGGCUCGAUGCUUCCAUCUUCCGUGUUAUAUAUUCCAGUAUCUCUAACUCCUGCUUCAACAGAUUCCUCCUUGGUCAGGCACGAAUAGGAGUCAACAAAAUCAUCAGCGAAAUAUAUGCAGUUGGGUUUACACUGAUAAUUCCUCGAUGCAUCAACAGAUAGUGAAGAAUAAAAGCCAAGAAGAGGGAUCUAUAACUCAAGUUCUUGAUAUUCGUCCAUUUAUUAGUACUUAGAUCGACCUCAAAAACCUGAAAUCCCGAAGUUUUGAAAGUGUUCUCUUCAGUUGGGUAGCCCAGAUGAGUAGGUGGUACUUGUACUACCCUCCGUGAAACCACAGAUAAUGUACCAUCAUCAGAUUCAACCACAUACAAGUACUCCACAGCAUCUUCAAUAAAUUCGGUAGGUAAUUUCGUGACUCGUAUAACAGUUCCAUCAUUAUCUUUGAUGGCAAAUAUCCGACCAAAAGUAUUAAUAUCAUAAAAUUGAUUUUGGAUAUAAAUAACAUCAAGAGUGGCCGCACUUUACAACUCCCAAACCAUUCCAUUUACUUGGUAUUUAAGUGCCAGAUAAUAGUUGGAUAUAACAGAUUUGCUGAUCCUUAGAAAGGGCCUUUUGAGUAUUAUCUGGUAUCGGAUGUCCUUAUCUACUACAACAAAGUCCAACAUCAUGGUUCUUCCAAAGGCCUUCAAACUAAUGGUAAGUAGCUCCACUACUCCCAUCGGCAUCAAUCUUCUUCCUCCAAACCCUUUUAAUGAGGUAUUGCUGGGCUCCAUUUUCAGGUCUGCUAUUCCCAUUUCAUCCAAAGUGACUUUGAAAAGAAUCUUGACUGAACUACCCAAAUCAAUCAGGUUCUGGUAUAUUCCUUGCUCGCAACAUUAGCUUUUAUAACCAGUCCGGUCUUCAUGGGGGUGCACCACCUCCUCCUAGCCAUCUUCUAUCCACAUAAUUGGAACUUGCUUGGACUUUACCUGUUUUGCUAGUGGUACAUUGAAGAGAACAUAAUGGCUGGUCGUGACAUACUUUCAAUAAUUCUUGCGAGCCCUGUUUAAGUCCCCCUCUAAUGUUGGACCAUCCUGCAAUGACUCUGGUCAUUGGUCCUCCAGAAUGGUGCCUCCUACAUUCUCCUCGGGCACGUAUGCCUCAUCUAUCAUAGGAAACGAACCGUCAACAUCCAGAUAACUGUUUCUUUGUUAACCAUUUAGAACUCCAAAAUUCUCACCUUUUGAUCCCUUAAACUACAGUAUCCGAUCUAGACCACCAUAAACUACCAGCUAGUAGUUUUCACAAACUUAAUAUCUUCAAAAUAUCCAACCUCGGUAAACAACCAACAAUCAUGCUUCAAUAUAAAUGCUAAUCUCAGCCAAAUUCAGCCCAGUCAUAAUAAAAAGAAUUCAAAUACAAUAGUCCCAUUAGUUACACAACCAAACCCAUGAUUCGAUGAAGCAUAUCCUCGGAUUUUAAGCUAAUUCUCAGCAAAAUUCUCCGCAAAUUCACCCCUAAGCAAUAAUUCCUGAACAUAGCUACACGCACUUAACUAAAACCAUGAAGCAUCCUCAAGAACAAAAGCAUUAAUCAAUUUAACUCAAACCUAUCAUUCUCACUGUAACCAAACAUCAAUGCUACAAAUCAUCAUCAGCUGUCCAAAGCAAAAAUAAACGAAAAUCAGGAACCAUUCUAACAAAAAAAUUGGUAUUUAACCCAAAUAACUAAAAUCUUACUAAGUUAAUUGGAAUAUUGAAUGCAAAAGCAGUAAAUAAUAGUUGAAACAAAUGAACUAAAAGGGGAGAAAGCAAAGCUAAAUUUUGGAACUUAUCUAAUGAGAAAUGAAUUUACUUGGAAUUUUACCUAAAAUAUUAAUAUUCAACGAACUUAGUAGGAAUAUCUAAUAUAGAACUAGUGGAUUUAGAAGUGGAAACAAAUAAACAUAUUAGUGACAAGUAUAACUGAAAUUAAGGACAUAUAAAAUUAACUUAGAACGUCAACCUAAUGUGUUAAUAUUUAGAGUGAUGAUACAGUCACAAACUUUUAUACAAACUUAUAUUGUACAAACUAAUGUGGUAUUAAUUCAUUGGUUGAAUAAAAAUAUAAAAUAAUAUAAAUAAAUCAUGUAAACCAAGAGAUAUUUAAUUCAACCAAUGAAUUAACGCCACAUCAGUUUGUACAAAAUAAGUUUAUACAAGAGUUUGUGGCUAUAUCAUUACUCUAAUAUUUAACCAAAAGAGUUGGAACAUGAUUACGUAUAUUACUUUUUUUAACUCUCAUUUAAAUUAAAAAUAUUUUUAUAUUAAUUGUUUAUAAAUUUCCUCAUUUUUUUAUUUUAUUUUAUUUUUUUACAUUAAAAAUAAUUUUUAAAAUUAUUAAAUGAACAACCAGUAAAAUAUCAAUUAUUCAAGUUGUAAAAGUAGGCUAUAUGUGAUACAACAAUGCACUCUACAAUGACUUAUAUAGUCAUUACUACACUUGGUGUCACCAGCCAUUUGCCAUUUGUCAUUUGUCACUGGUCACCAUCACCCUUUGAGUUAUUUUUUGGAGAAAAAAAAAAGCGUCCCUCCAUAAACCUACAAUCUAAAUUAGUAAUGAUUUCACUUUCCCAAAAAACAAAUACAACCUCAUUUUUUUUUUUAAAUUAGAAAAAUUAUCUUUGUAUCACUUCUCUUUAAUUAUAUGUAUAUCCAACCACUACAAAAGUUUGAUAUAUUCUCUGCACCACUUUCAUAUUUAAACUUGUAUCAAUCAAUUAAUUCGACACUAGUAAAGUUAGAAUCCCUUAAAUAAUUUAAAUAAAAUGAUUUCUUUACAUGUAAAUAAAUUUAAAGUCUAUUUUAUCCUACAAAAUUUGGAAAAAUAAAAAAUAUAAUUAGAAGAAUACCCUAAAUAUAAUAAAACAAAUAAAUCUUUAAAUCCAAGAUGUUCAUUUUCGUAAUUAUAAUUUUUAAAUGAUAAUUUUCAGUAUAAUUUAAAAAUUAUAGUUACAAAAUUAACAUCUUGGAUUUUGAGAUUUAUUUGUUUUAUUAAAUUUAAGGAUAUUCUUGUAAUUAUAUUUUUUAUUUUUCAAAAUUUUUUAGGAUAAAAUAAUUUUUUUUAUUCAUUUCGGAGCAAACGGUCAUCUUAUUUAAAGUAUUUAAUGGAUUCUAAAUUUGUUAAUGUAAAAGUGAUUGAUUGAUAUAAGUUUAGAAAUAAAGGUGGUGUAAAAAAAUAUGUCAAAACUUUAUAAUGGUUAAAUGUACAUGUAAUAAAAGAAAAGAUGCUGAGAUAAUUUUCCAAAAAAUUAAUUCGACCUUUUUAACAGCUCUCUAUUAUUUCUCUAUAUAAGUACCCAAACCCAACGAACAAAGCGUCACUUAAAGUCUCAAGAGCUCAACAAUCUCUCUGCUCUAUAAGUUGCUGAUCAAUUUUCUUCCAGAACCCAACUUAAUAUAUAUAUUUUUUGGCAUCAUUAAAAAAGAGUACUUGGGGUGAGGAGAGUGCAGUAAGAGACAUGAGCAGCAACGGUGGCAGAGUUUGCAAGUUUGAUUUAGCAUUCAACAAGCUUAUGCUGCGACAAUAUUGUGGCUGCAAUAAGGGCAACAAUAAUUCUAUUGUAAGGAGUCUUGGCGGUGGCGAUAAUAAUAAUAAUAAUAACAAUGAGGCUAUCAAGGGGGUUAAUGGAGACGAGAUCAUGAAGAAAAAGAGGAGGCAAGAAGAAAAGGCUGAGACUGUCUUCCACCUAAUUUGCUGGGGACCCAAGUAAUUAAUUAUUUUUAUUUCUUCUUUUCUUCGUUAUUUAGAAAAAAAAAUCAUAUGGGAGACAAAGAGAUGUAUUGAUUUAUUUUUAUUUUAGGAAUUUUGGUGCUUAUGGAAAUAAAUCAUAUACUUUCAAUUUAUUUGCUUUCAAUUUCAAAUGAGCUC
RNAcentral lists this long non-coding RNA (56837 nucleotides) under Citrus sinensis (sweet orange). RNAcentral describes it as "long non-coding RNA (CSIN_LNC000081)". Lineage: Eukaryota; Viridiplantae; Streptophyta; Magnoliopsida; Sapindales; Rutaceae. The record is from RNAcentral.